AGUCCGCCAUUGCAAACACGAAGCUCUUCCAGAAACGCCCUCACAGACACCCCGGAAGUCACGUACCCACUCUGUAGGUGCCCCGGGGCACAGGCAAGCGGACGAGCCAGUUAUCCCUCAGAGCUCCUGCUGCCUCGCCCGCUUUCUCUCGGAAACGUGAAGUGUGGCCUCAGCUGAAAGUGAGGUGGGCCUCAUUCAAUCAGUUGAAUUCUUCAAGAGAGAAAAACUGAAGUCCCUUAGAAGGAAAGAGUUCUGCCUUCAGACUGUCUUUGAACUUAAGACUGUAGCGUCGACUCCUGCCGGAAUUUCCAGCCUGCUGGCCAGCUCUGCAGAUUCACACUUGCCAGCCUCCACAAUCGCAGCUGAGGCGGAGGAACCCUAAGGGCUCAUUGAGAUCAUGGAUUUGCCCUUCUAUGCAUUGAUGGAGCACCUGCUGCCCACAGCGUCUGUAUUUGGUGCUGGGAUGCUGAGGACACUGAGAUCUUCAAACAGAGGCUGCCACUCUAAGCAAACAGAUCCCGAGCCCUGGACUCUGAAGCUUGGGCCCAGUUCUCCUUUUCUCCGGGUUUCAGAUCCCACUGUGAAGUGAGGGGGCCCUUCUGAUUCAGGACCCGGGGAAGCCAGGGGCAUGAGCAUCGGUGCCUCUUCUCUAUUUCAAGGACCCUUCUGGGUGUAAAGUUCUCUGAGAUGCCUUACAUGGAUUCCCACCACUGCAAGAUAACCAUCGUAUGUAAAGUGUUAUGACCAGCAGAGCGUAAUUGAAGUGCAUUCCAGAGGGAAAGACAGCGGCUCAGGGACAUGACCCUAUGCCAGCCCACACCACAGUCUUGGUCAUCACUCCUGUUUCCAUGGUGUUAACAGCAGCAGUUACUUGGUUACGGAGAGCUUUUCCUUACGCCAGCACCCUAUCCAUAUCGCUUGGACAGUACGUACACAAUGGUGAUGUUAUUGCUCGUCAUGUAUUACUAGUAAGAGCUUUGUCCCAGCAAGGAAGCCACCCAUGCAUCCACCAAACAUGAGAAACUCAAUCCCCAAAUCUCGUUUUGAAGUUCUGGUUCCUAGUCCAUUCCUAGUAGCCACAAUGAGAUCAGUCAGGGUCUUAGGAGGAAAAAACAUUCACACAGAUGUUUUAAAUGAAGGGACCUUAAUGACUAAACUACUAACAGACCUGUUGGCAUAUUAAGGAAAGAAAUGAGAGAGAUGGGGAAACUAAGGACUGGUAACAGCUGGAAGGCUUUGCCACCCUAAGAAUCAAACAGGGAAGGGAAAGAUGCAGCGUUACCAGGUCCUGUGUGAGCUGGCAUGAAGCCCGGGAGGUACCACCAUGGAGGCAUGGGGCUUCCUGAGAAGUGGUGAGGAAGAAUGGAUGGAGCAGGGAAGCAAGACCCCUUCCACCCACCGGCCCCCUGCUGCUGACCUCUUGGCCAAAUGGGACAGAAGCCAGCUUGCAGGGGCUGCUAUUCCGCCUGUGGGUAUCAGGGCAGAAAGUGGGCAGUUUCAGGGCAGGUGGGGUCAGUCAACAAUUCAGUUCAUCUUUUUCAGUUUUCUUUCUGGAUGAUUUUCAGAUGCUGUCUUGUGGUGUUGGGACUGCAGUUUCAUGAAAAUAUGUCUAGGUGUAGAGUUUGUUUUAUUCUGCUUAGAUAUAGAGUGCUUCCUAUGUUGGUGGAUCCAUCUUUUUUGACAUUAUGGAAAUUGUCUCUUUAAGUGUGUCUACUGCUGUAUUCUUUUUUUUUUUUGUAGGAAAGCAAAUAUAUGCGACUUUUUCAUUCUGUUAUCUAGAGGCAGUUUUGAAUGGUGAUUAAAAGCAUGAUUUCUGAAGAAGACUGCCUGGGUUUAAAUCUUAUUCCCCAAAGUUCCUAGCUGUGUGACCUUAGGCAAGUUACUUAAAAUCUCCGUCCCUCUGUAAUCUCACCAUGUAAAUGAGGGUGACAUUAGCACGGUGCAGGUUUGACGUGAGGAUUGAAUGGAUGAAUGUCAGGAAAGAUCCAGGACAUAAUGGAAAAACUUAUGUCUUACCUAUUGUUGUUAUUGCUUGAUAUUAAUGUUGUCUUCUUUAUUAUAGUAAGAAUGCAACAUAAGGCAGGGUGCGGUGGUUCACGCCUGUAAUUCCAGCACUUUGGGAGGCCAAGGUGGGCGGAUCAUCUGAGGUUGGGAGUUUGAGACCAGCCUGACCAACAUGCAGAAAACUCGUCUCUAUUAAAAAUACAAAAUUAGCUGGGCGUGGUGGCGCAUGCCUGUAAUCCCAGCUGCUUGGGAGGCUGAGGCAGGAGAAUCGCUUGAACCCAGGAGGCAGAGGUUGCAGUGAGCUGAGAUCACGCCAUUGCACUCUAGCCUGGGCAACAGAGCAAGACUCCUUCUCAAAAAAAUAAAAAUAAAAUAAAAAAAUUAGCUGGGCGUGGUGGUGGGCACUUGUAAUUCCAGCUGCUUGGGAGGCUGAGGCAGGAGAAUAGCUUGAACCUGGGAGGCGGAGGUUGCAGUGAGCCGAGAUCAUGCCAUUGCACUCCAGCCUGGGAGACAGAGCAAGACUCCGUCUCAAACAAACAAACAAACGAACAAAUAAACAAACAAAAAAACACAAUGUGAGAGCUACCUUCAACAUAUUUUUUAGGGCUCAAUACUGUAUUGUGAACUAUAGGCACAAAGUGUUGUACAAUAAGAGCUCUGGGGCUUGUUCAUCCUAUAGAACAGAAGCUUUACACUUGUUGAACAGCAACUCCCAUCUCCUCCUUCCAGCCCUUGGCAACCACGUUCUACUCCUCGUUUCUACGAGUUUGGCUAUUUUAAUACCUCAUCUAAGUGGAAUUGUGCUGCAUUUGUCCUUCUGUGACCGGCUCACCUCACGUAGCGUGCUGUUCUCCAGGUUCAUCCAUGUUAUCCUGUUCAGCAGGAUUUCCUUCUCUUCUGAAGCUGAAUCAUAAUCCAUCGCUAACGUUAUCUUGUAACUCUUCUAUUAAACUCUCUAUCUCCUUAUCUCUCGAAGCUGCAUUGAGUUAUUUCUUCAGAUACAUCUUCUAGGUUCAUAUUUAUUUUUCCUUUUUUAAAAGCAAUUUCUAAUUUGUUUUAACCAUAUGCAUUAACUUUUUAACUUAAACAUUGUUUUUUAUGUAUAAAGGUUAUUUUUAGAAAAUGUUUGUUAAUUUUGUUUAUAAACUUAAAUUUAGUAAAUUGCUGGCUGGGCACAGUGGCUCAUGCCUGGCAUCCCAGCACUUUGGGAGGCCAGGGCAGGCAGAUCACUUGAGGCCAGGAGUUUGAGACCAGUCUGACCAACAUGGUGAAACCCCUUCUCUACUGAAAAUACAAAAAUUAGCUGGGUGUGGUGGUGGGCACCUGUAAUCCUAGCUCAGGAGGCUGAGGCAGGAGGAUCACUUCAACCUGGGAGGUGGAGGUUGCAGUGAGCCAAGAUCGUGCCAUUGUACUCCAGCCUGGGUGACAGAGCAAGACUCUGUCUCAGAAAAAAAAAAAAAAGAAACAGAAUAUUGCUGACACCGUAAAAGCCUCCUAACUGCCCUCCUUGUCAAUAAUCCCCUGAGAAUAAAAAGAGAUGAGUCUCCAACUUCAGGAAAGGAAAUAGAAGGCUGGCAUUCUUUGGCCCUAAUUACAAGCUGUAAACUAGUAAACAAAGACCUAGUUUAAAGUGGCCCCAAUAAACUAGCAACACUCUAGGUACAAAAGUCCACCAAUCCCUAAACUCCACACUUUCCUAAAAUACUUAAGUGAUAGGAGCUUUCUGUUUUGCUUGAUAAAGCUGUUUUUUGGAAUCUGGCUUCCAACAUCAGCAUGCACCUGCGAUCAUAUCUGCGAUUCAUGCGCGUUGUAUCAGGGUUCUCCAGAGAGACGGCACCUAUAGGAUAGAUAGUUAGAUAUAUAGAUGAUUGAUAGGUAAAUAGAUAGAUAGAUAGAUAGAUAGAUAGGGAGAGAGUUAUUAGGGGAAUAGGCUCACAUGAUUAUAGUGGCUGAGAAAUCCCAUGAAAGGCCAUCUGCAAUUUGGAGAAGCAAAGAAGCUGGGAGUGUGGCUCAGUCCAAGUGCAAAAACUUCAGAACCAGCAAAGCCAGUGGUGUAACUCUCAGUCCAAGGAUGAAGGUCUGAGGACCCAGAGGACUGCUCUUGCAAAUUGUGGAGUCCAAAGGCCAGAGAACCUGGAGUUCUAAUGCCCAAGGGCAGGAGAGCCAGUGUGCCCCAUCUCCAGGAGAGAGGGAGCAAGUAAGCAAACUCUUUCUUCCUCUGCCUUUUUGUCCUGUUCAGGCCCUCAGCCAGUUUAAUCGUGCUUGCCACACUGGGUGACAGAGGAUGUUCCUUACUCAGUCCACAGAUUCAGAUGCCAGUCUCUUCCAGAAACACCUUCACUGACACACCGAGAGCUGAUGCUUUACCACUAUCUGGGCACCCCUUAGUUCAGUCAAGUUGAUCCCUAAAAUUACCCAUCACCCAUGUUGAUGCUAUAAUGGGAGUUCAUUGCUAUAGUAGGAAUAGUGCAAGGAUUCAGCACGAUUCAUGAACCCAUUACACUGUUGAUGAUAGGCAUUUUGGUGCUUGCUAGUUUUGGACUAUGACAUCUAAAGCUUCCGGGAACACGCUUAUGCAUGUCUUGUGGAUAGUAUAUGUAAAUAUUUGGGCAUGUAUCUAGGAACAAAAUUGGUAGGUACAAAGUUAUGGGCAUGUUGAGACAUAUCACAUAUUGCUACAUGGUUUUCCUAAGGAAUUGCUCAAACAUCAAUUUACAUCAUUAAGUAUCAGAGUUCAAUCACUCCAUAUCAUUCCAAUGUUGGGUACUAUUGCUUUUUUUUUUUUUUUUUUAAUUUAAGCCAGUUUAGUGGAAGCAGAGUGGCAUCUCCUUCUGGUUUAAUUUGCAUUUUCCUGGAGACAACUUUUUUCCUUUUAGCCAUUCGGGGAUCCUCUGUUGAGAAGGGCCUAUUCAAGUCUUUUGUUCGUUUUUCUCCGGGUGGGGUCUCUCUUUCUCAUUAUUUUGUAGAAUUCCUGUUACAUUUUAGUUAUCUUUUAAAAUAUAUUCAAAUAUACUUAAUAUAUUUGAAUUAGUACAUUAUCAAUCAAUUAUUAAUUAAAAUAAGUUAAAUAUAUUUAAUUAAAUAUAUUAAAAUAUAUUCUCUCAUAAUAUGGCAUGGAUUUUUGUUUUUAAUUUUAUUAAGCCCUUCUUUUCAAAUGGUGUAAUUCACAGAUAUUGAAUAUAUGCUUUGUUCUUUAAGUUUUGACAAACACAUGUACCAGCAUGGCCUGUACCUCUAUCAAGAUACAAAGCAAUCCCAUCACACUGAAGGUUAUGUUUUAGCCCUGUCCUGUCACUGCCUGCACUGCCCCUACUGAGGCCAUUACUGCCUGGAUUUCUAGCAGCAUAGAUGAGUUUUUCCUGCUCUAGAAAUUCAUAUGAACAGACUCUUACAAUAGAUAUAAUUUUGUGAGUGGCUUCUUUCCCUCUGCGUGCUUUUGAGCUCCAUCGUGCUGUCCAAUAUAUUAGUAGUGUUAUGCUUCUUGUUGCUGUGUGACUUUCCAUUAUAUGGAAAUACCGCAAUUUGUUCAUCCAUUGUCUUGUUGAUGGAUAUCUGUGUGGCUUCCAGUUUUGGACUACAGUGUUUAAAGCUACCAGUAACAUUCAUGUAAAAGAUGUUUUAUAGAAAUAUAUUUUCAUUACCUCUCUAAAUAAAACCAGUCAGUAGCUAGGUGGCUAUAUGUUUAACUAUUUUAAAAAGUUUGCAAGCCACUUUACAAAGGGGUAGUUCUAUUGUGUAUUCUCACUAGAAAUAUAUGAGCAAUAUUUUUGUUUGAAAUCUUUGCAAAUAUUUGUUGUUGUCAGUAUUUUUCAUUUGAGCCAGAAUUUUUAUUAAGAGAUAGAAUCUUGCUACAUUGCCCAGGCUGAAGUGGAGUGGCUCUUCAGAGGUUCGAUCAUAGUGCACUAUGGUCUCAAACUCAUGGGCUCAAGCGAUCAAUCCACCUGCCUUAACCUCCUAAGUAGCUGGGACUACAGGUGCACAUCAGUGUGCCUGGCUUAAUUUUAGCCAUUCUUAUGGGUGUGAAGUGGUUCCCACUUGGUAUUAAAUUGCAGUAUAUAUAUAUAUAUAUACACACACACACACACACAUAUAUAUAUAAAUAUAUAUAAUGUGUAAAUUAUAUAUUUAUACACAAUACAAAUAUAUAUAUUUGUGUAUUCUUUUUUAGAUACAUGUAUCACAGAUAUUUUCUCCUACUCUAUUGUUUCAUUUCUAAAUUUUAGUAGUAUUUUUAAGAAGCAGAGUUUUUUACUUGAUGAAAUCUUUAAGAAAGUUUAAAGUUAUUGCUGUUUAUCUUCUCUAGAAAAUCAUUGCCUAUCCAAGAUCUAGAAAAUUUAUACAUUUAGCUUUUCUCAAUUUCUACAAAACCUUUAAGGUUUGAUUAAGAUUGCAUUGAAUCUAUUCAUUAAUUUGGGGGAUACCGACAUAUAUGAAUAUUUAAUUUCCUAAUCCAUGAAGAACAUGUAUGGUUCUUCAUCAUUACACCUUUUGAAAUUAAUCUCAAUAAUGUUUUAUAGUUUUCAGUAUAGUGAUUUUGCAGAUAUUUCUGGUUUAUUUAUUUCUAGAUAUAUUUUAUGCUAUUAAAAUGUAAAUAUUUUAUGUCAUUUUCCAUUUUCUUGCUGCUGCUCUAAGGAUAUGUAAUUGACUUUUGCAUAUUGGCCUUGUUUUCUGCAUCCUUGCUGAAAUAACUUAUCAGUGUUAUAUUUUUGUUCUGAUAGAUUUCUUGCUUUUCACAUAACAAUUAUGUCUGAAAAUGAAGAACGUUUUGGUUUUCCUUUCAAAUAAUUAAGAGUUUAUUUCUUAUCCUUGCCUUAUUAUACUGGAUAGAACCUUCUGCACACUAUUCAAUGUAAUGGUAAGAGUAGAGUAGACAUCCCUGCUUUGUUGCAAACGUCAGGAAAAAAGUGUGCAAUAUUUAACCAUUAAGUAUGAUGUUAGCUCUAGGUAAUGUUUGUAGAUACUCAUUAACAGAUUGAGUCACUUUCCUGCAAGUAGUGGUUGGCUGAGAGUUUUCAAUAUGAAUGGAUAUUGAAUUUGGCCAAAUACUUUAUCUACAUCUAUUGAGAUUAUCAUAAAAUGUUCUUUGUUCUUUUAAUGUUAAUCAAUUAAUGUCUUAAUGUUAAGCCAACCUUGCAUUCCUGUGAUAAGCCUCACUUGCUUAUAGUAUAUUUCAUAUUUAUAUAUUGCUAGGUUCACUUUGCUAAUAAUUUAUUAAGGAUGAUUGUUUUAUUUAUGUUUCUGAAGAACAUUGUUUCUGAAGAAUAAUUUUCUGCUUUUGUUUUGUAAUGUCUGUCAACUUUACUAAGUCAUAUUUUCCAAGGUAUUUGUCUCUUUGAUUUCAGUUGUCAUUGGUGUAAAGUGUUGGCCAUAAAUUGUUUAUAACAUUUUAAUAUCUGUAGGACAUGUAGCAACAUCUAUUUUUUUAUUCUUUACAUUGAUAUAAUUUGUGUUUUCUUUUUUAUUGAUCAGUCUUGCUAGAUGUUUUAAAAUUUUAGCUUCUUAAGGCAUCAUUUAGAUAAUAAAAUUUAAAAUCUUUCUUGUUUUUAAUAUGAACAUUUAAAACUCUAAAUUUUCCAAAGGCACUGUAUUUGUCUGCAUUUUGCGAACUUUUGAUUUGUUGCAUUUUCAUUAUGACUAAGUUUUAAAAUAUUUUCUAAUGGCCCUUGUAACUUCUUUUUCACUCACGUUUUAUUUAGAUGUUCAGAGAAUAGAAGAUCAGUAUAUGAAAAUCAAUCAUAUUUUUACUGACAGCAACAAAUAAUCAAAAAAUGAAAUUAACCAAAAAAUUUCAUUCACAAUAACACCAAAGGAAACAGUUAAAAAUAAAUUUAACCAAAUGAUAUAUAACUUGUACAAUGAAAUGUAUAACACAUUGCUGAAAGAAAUAAAAUACCUAAAUAAAUUGAGAGCUAUUUCAUGUCUAUGGAUCUGAAGAUUCAAUAUUGUCACAAUGAAAGUUCUCCUCAAAUCCAUUCAUAAAUUUCACAGAAUUCCUCCCAAAUCCCAAGUCAGGUUUUUGUGUAGAAAUGGACAAGCAGAUCCUAAAAUAUACAUAGGAAUAGAACAAAAAGAGAGACGAGGGUAUACAUGACUAUAUUUCAAAACAGUAUAAAGCUACAACGAUUGAGACGAUGUGGUUUUGCUUUAAAGAAAGGUAUACAGGUAAUGGAACAAAAUUUAGGGUCAAGCAAUCUAGCCUUACAUUUGUGAUCAACUGAUUUUUGACAAAGAUGUCAAGGUGAUUCAAUGGAAGAAAGAAUAGUCUUUUCAACAGAUUGUGCUGGGACAAUUGGAUAUGCACAUGCCUAAAAUAAAUUAACGUAGACCCUCAUCUCAGCCCAUACAGAAAUUAACUUAAAAUGCAUUAUAGUCUAAACUGUGUAACCUAUAGCUAAAAAUCAUCUAGGAAAAACACAGGUGUAAUACCUUGUAACCUUGAGUUGGGCAAAGAGUUCUUUGAUAUGACAGCAAAGGCAUGAUCCAUAGAAGAAGAAGAAAAGGUAAAUUGGACUUCAUCAAAUUAAAGACUUUGGCACUUUGAAAGCCUGUUGAGAAAAUAAAAAUACCAGCCACAGACUGUGAAAAAAUAUUUGCAAAUCAUAUAUCUGUUAAAGGAGUUGUGUCUGGAACUCCUACAACUCAGUAAUAAGAAGAUUAAUAACCCAAUUACACAGUGGACAAAAGCUUUAACUAGAUACUCACCAAGGAAGAUACGCAUACGGCCAAAAGCACAUGGAAACAUGUUCAACAUCAUUAGUCAUUAGGAGAAUGCAAGUUAAAAUCGAAAUGAGAUGCUACUUCCUGCCUAUUGAAGGUCAUGAAGGCUGACAGUACCAAGGGCGGCUGAGGAUGUGAGAAGCUCGGCUCCUCCUAGACCGUCCACGGGAAAACAACACAGGAUGCCCACUUUGGAAAGGAGCUAGGCACUUCUUUAAAAAGUUCAAUAUACAUCCCAGCAAUUCCACUCCUCAGAAGCUACCCAAGAGAAGUGAAAACAUAUGUCCAUGCAAAAAUAUGUACACACAUGAUGAAGCAGCAUUAUUUAUAAGAACCCCUAAGAGGAAACACUUUAAAUGUCCAUCAGCUGGUGAAUGUAUAAAUAAAAUGUAUCCAUGCAAAGGAAUAUUAUUCAAUGAUUAAAGGAACAAACUGCUGAUAUGUGCUCCAAGAUGGAUGAAUCGCAGAAACAUUAUUCCAAGUGAAGGAAGCUAGACACAACAGAUUAUCUAUUGCAUAACUCCUUUUAUAUGAAACAUCCAGAAUAAGCAAAUGUAUGGAGACAGAAAGCAGAUGGCUGUUUGCCAAAGGCAGGUGGUGGGAGUGGGGAUUAACAAUGAAUAGCCAUGAGGAAAAUUUGAGGGCUUUAAUGAGUGUUUUAAUGUGGGUUGCGUUAAUGUUUGCACAAUUCUAUAAAUUAACAAAAAGAGGAAUGCAUUGUUACAUUUGCAAAAACUUGGGGAUUUUUAGGAAAGAUUUUUGUUGCUAUUGAAUUGUAAUUUAAUUGUCUUACAGUCAGAUAACAUACAAUAUAGGAUUUUUAUGUUAUAAAAUUUAUCGAGACAUUUUCCAGCCUACCCAAUGACCUUUGCUGGUGGCGAUUUCAUGCACACCUGAAAAGAGUAUGUAUUGUGCCUGGCAGUGUUUUCUAUAAAUGCCAAUCAGAUAAACUCUGUGGAUAGUGCUCUUCAAAGUUUCUAUAUCCUUACUGUGUUUUGAAAAUGUAUUUUAAUUUGUUUUUGUUAUGUGUUCUAUCAGUGACUGAGAGAUGGGCUUCAAAAUUUCCAAUCCCAAGUGUGGGUUUUUCUAUUUGCUUCUGUCAGUUUGGGCUUCUUGUAUUUUUUGGGACUGUUAUUAACAGCACUCAUGUAUUAAUGUUAUCUCUUUGUGGCACACUACCUAUUUUACCAUGAUUACACUCCCUUUUUAAUCUCUAAUUAUAAUCCUGGUCUUGGAUUGUACAUUGUCUUACAUUAUUAUGACUAUACCAGAAGUCUAAUGUUUGUUGUUUUCGUGAUAUAUGUUUCCCCACUAUUUUACUUUCAAAUUAUCUGUCUUUAUGCUUACAAUGUUUCUCUUGUAAAUAGCACAUAGUUGAAUCUUGCUUUUUAUGCAUUCUGAUAUUCUGUCUUUCAAUUAUUGUAUUUUAUUUAUAUUUCAUGUAAUUAUUGAUAUAUAAUUUAUCAAGCAUAUUCUUUUUGCGAUUUGUUCAAUCUGGUUUUUGUUUCUUUAUUUUUUUUCCUGUCUUCCUCAAUCAAAUAUAUUUUAGAAUUUUAUUUUAUUUUCUCUAUUGACAUUUUAGUUUGACUUUUGUGUUUGCAUGUGUUUAAGUGCCUGGGGGUUCCAAUAUGCAUCCUUAAUUUAUCACAGUCUCUGAGAGUGAGUAUUAAACUAUUUCACUAUUUGUUAUAAAACUGAAGAAUGGGACAGUAUAUUCUUCUGUUGAAGUCUCUUCCUGUCCUCGGCCACACGCUUUCCGUCUGCACACACAGCACAAUAUACUUCCAAGGCUACUUCUUUCAACGCUCACUCACCUGAUGCUCCGUAAUUCUGUCUGUACAUCUGAGUGUUCCUCCCAUAUUCCUUCUUCAGUUUAAAGAAUUUUCUUACAGCAUUAUUUCAGUUUUGGUUCAUUGGUGACUAAUUGUUUCACCUUUCUUUUAUUAAAUAUAAUCUUUAUUUCACAUACGUUGAAGUAUGUUUUCCUGGUUAUAUAAUUCUAACUUAAGACUUCCUCUUAUUUUCCCCUCAGCAUUUCAGUUUUUUAUUUUUGUUUAUUUAUUUAUUUUGAAACGGAGUCUUGCUCUGUCGCCCAGGCUGGAGGGCAGUGGCACGAUCUUGGCUCGCUGCAAUCUCCGCCUCCCGGGUUUAAGCCAUUCUCCUGCCUCAGCCUCCUGAGUAGCUGGGACUACAGGCAUGUGCCACCAUGCCUGGCUAAUUUUUGUCUUUUUAGUAGAGAUGGGGUUUCACCAAGUUGGCCAGGCUGGUCUCGAAUGCCUGACCUCGUGAUCCUCCUGCCUCAGCCUCCCAAAGUGCUGGGUUUAUAGGCAUGAGCCACCAUGCCCAGCCCUCUACCAGCAUUUUAAAAACACUGCCAAUCUUCACCUGCUCUCCAGCAUUUCUCAUGAGAGGUCAUAGUGUGAUUCCUUUCUAUGUGACCAAUCUACUGUUUUUUCUCCAGUUACUUUGAAGAUUUUCUCUUUCUCUUAAACUUUGAUUUUUUAUCCACGUUUGUGAUGUACGUAAAUAGAGUUCUCUCUGAAUUUAUCCUUUGUGGGAUUCGUUGAUCUUCUUGAAUUUAAUUUCCAUUAAAUUCAGAAAAAAUCUGGUGAUUUUUUUUUCAGAUAUUUGUUUGUACUCCAUUUUCUCUUUUCUGUCCUCAUGAGACUUCAAAUAUAUGAAUGAUCACUUCAUAUUAUAUCAUGGGUUUCUCAGGCUCUGUUCACUAUUUUUAUAAUCUUUAUCAUUGUUAUUCUUCAAGUUAGAUAAUUUCUGUUGAUUUGCCUUCAAAUUCGCACUUCCUUCUGCAAUAUACUAUCUCUCUCUCUUAAUCCCUUCUAUUAAGUUUUUUAAAAAAGUGAUUUUCAGUUAUAGAAUUUCCUGGUUACUUUUACAGGAUCUGUUUCUCUGCCGAGAUCACUGUUCACUCAUCAUGACCAUUUCUCACAUUAAAUCCCUGCGCCUAUUGAAAAUAGCCACGCCGGAGCCUAUGUAGACGGUUGCUGUCUUCAUAUCUAAAUUCCUCAGCAUUAGUUCCUCUUGAUGGCUUUUUCUUUGCCGAAGGGUAAUUCUUGUCAUGACUAAGACUAUUUUUAUUGUACUGUGGACACUGCGGUGACAUAUUUUAGGAGGAGGAGAUUGUGCCCUUUCAAGAAGUUUCCGUGUUUUGUUUUUGUUUUUCUAGAAGGCAGAUCAGUUGUAGGUAUUAAGCUUUCUUUGAUUUUGUUACAGUAAUUAAACUUCGGCAUGGUCCUUCAUCCCAGCGUGUGGUUCUCACGCUAAGGUGUGGUCCUUACUGUUUGAGCUAAAGUCUCUCUGGGUUCUCAGCUGAAUGCCCGAGAUGUUCAAGUGAGGUUUCUACACUGGCUGCGGCAGGCCCUGAGCUUUCCAGCAGUCGGGCCCUGAAAUCUCAGGUUCCCUCCCAGCCCCAGCAGCAGCUGUCUCUGAGUCCUGCACAUCUCACUCCAGGCGUGUGCCGCCCAGCCUUGCUCUCUGCUGUCUUCCGCAUUUAGGCUCUGCUCUGCCUGGGCACCUCUCCCCAGACCUCGGGCAGAAAGCUGGGUCCACAGCCGACUCCAGGCUCCCACUGGCUUUUCUCCAGAAUCAUGGUUCUGCUGUGCCUUCAGUCCCGGGUCUGGAACCUGGUUCGUAGUUACAGGGUGAAAGGGCAACUCCUUCACCAGUUACUCUAGGAUGGCCAGGAGCAAAAGUGUGUGUAUUGAUUCCUAACUUCCUCGCUGGUACCUUUUGAAGGAAAGAAGCUGAGCUUUUAGAAAUGUAGUUGGGUUAAUCUUUUUUCGUUUAUGUAGAAGCCCUCGUUUGCCAUCCCCAACAUCUAAAUGCCUCAGCGUCAGUUUCUCCUGAUAGCUUUUUCUAUUGCUCAAGGGUCAUAUUUUCCUGUUUCUUAGCAUAGUUAAUUAUACUUUUUUUUUUUUUUUGCUAGUAAUAUUUUCAUUCUACUCUGGACAUUGUGAUGAUACGUUCUAGGAAGAGUUAUCAUAUUUUUGUCCCAUUUAAACAAUAUGCUUGUCUGAAAUUCAGAAAGACAUGGUCUUAUGUUUUUUUCUAGAAGCCUUUUUAAAAAUUUUAAACUUCAGAAGUCUGUGAUGCAUCUGAAAAUAUUUGUUGGACAGGAGAGGGGUCAGGUUCAUUGCUGUUUCCCACUGCCCCCCCACCCCCUCUAGAUCUCCAGCUGGUCCAGCAUGACUGGAAAGUCCAUCUUUCCUCCACGGAAUUGAGGUGGUAUCAUCGUUGUAAUUCAGACAGGUGCAUAGAUCUAUUUCUGGACUUACUCUUCUGCUCAUUUGUUCUACUUCUCUAAACUUGCUCUAGAGUCUUGUAACUGUGGCUUUAUAACAUACCUUGAUCAGCUACUGUAAGAUUUUCGUUUUGUUCAUUUUCUUUGAGGUUUCCUUGGCUAUAUAUAUAUAUACUUUUGUGUUUUCACAUAUACUUUAGAAGAAUUGCAUCAGUUUCCAUGGAAAAAUCUGUAGGGGUUUUUUGGGGGAAUUGCAUCGACUAUAUACCUCAGUUUAGGGAGAAGUGACAUUGUAUAAUGAAUCUCCCAGUAGGUGAGUAUAGAUAGCUUUCCAUUCCUAUAGAUCGUCUUUAAUUUUUCUAAGUAACAUUGUAUCAGUUUCAUACUGAGGUCUUCCACAACUUCCUCUAGGUUCAUUUCUACUUAUUUGAUUUGUGAUGCUAUUUUAGUUAGUAUCUUUUUAAAAGUUUAUUUUCUAUUUCAUUGUAGCAGGCAUACAGAAAUGCACUACUUUUUGUUGCUGUUAUUUUUAUACAACAGCAGUACAGGACUUCACCAAAUUCAUGUGUUAUUGCUAAUGUUUUGUCAGUAGAUACUUUGGACUUUUUAUGUCUAUAAUGACUUUCCUUUUUCUGUCUUUAUCUCUUUUAUUUCUGUUUCUUGCCUCAUUGCACUGACUAAAGCCUUUAUUCCUAUGUUGAAUAGAAUUUGGAAUAGCAGAUAUAAGAGCUUUUUUGAUGUUACAUGCAAAGCUUUCAGAAAUUAACCUUUAAAUGUGAAGUUUGUGGUAGGUAUUUUGUAGAUACAUUUAUUGAAAUAUUGAAAUUCCCAUCUCACUCCUGUUUUCUGACAGUCUCUAGUCUGACUGUGUGUCAGAGUGUGGCUAAUGUGUGUGUGUGUGUUGCACAAUUUUAAAUGAUAUAUAAUUUGUCUUUUCUUUCAUUCUGCAAAGUGCAUUGAUUUAUUUUGAAAUAUUUAUUAACUUUGCAUUCCUGGAAUACAUGCCACUUGGUCAUAAUGUAUUAGCCUUUUUAUUUACAACUGAAUUAUCAUUCUGUAUUGAUUUUAGUGUCUUUGCGCCUAUGUCAAUGGGGGAGAUAGGUUUCCAAUUUCUAGUACCUUUGCCAGGUUUUAUGUAAAAAUAGUAAAUUGGACUCAUUAUGGAUACCGGGAAGCUUUCUCUCAGUUCCUAUCUUUGUAAGAUCUCACAUAAUAUUAGUUUUACGCUUUCUCUCAAAAUUUAAAAUUUAUUUUUACCCUUUCCCUCAAAAUUUACUUGUGGGUUAUUUUGCGCUUCUAGAUUUUUGUUUUGUUUGGUAGAUUUAUAUAGGUGGGCAUGGGGGGAGAAUUGUAAUAGGUACAAUUUCUUUACUGAAUAUGAGGCUACUAAGAUUUUUAAAUUUGUUCUUGUGACAUAUUUAGAAAGCAUUUUAAAAAUAUUUUUCUCAUUUCAUUUAAACUGCCUAAUUUAUUGUUGAAGUAGUUUAUAAUAAUUUUUCUUUUAAUAUCUAUAGGAUCUGUAAUAAAUUUCCUUUUAUCAUUCCUGAUAUUGGUAAUAUUUUAUUUGAUAAAUCUUGCUCAGUUUAACUGUCUAUAAUCUUUUUUUAAAAUAAGCCAUUUCUUCGCUUUGCUAGUUUUUCUUGUUUUUCUUGUUUUUUUUCUUCUAUUUCAUGUUUUUGAUAUCUCUGUCUUUCUUUUCUUUUCUCUACCCUCACUGACUUUGAUGUGUUGUUCUUUUGCAAGAUUCUUGAGAUCCAAACUUCGAUGACUGAUUUUAUUUAUUUUCUAUAUAUGCAUUUAAGGCUAUUAAUUUCCCUCUCUUAGCUUGACAAUAAUACAUUCUGUGGCAAUUCUUAUGGUGGCUACCUUAGUUUUUCUAACAUAUGUCUUGGAACUUUAUGGCCCAAUAACAACUGUGUCUUAUACUGAGAUAGUUAAAAACAUCUAGAGAAAGUGAACAUGUGGUUGUCAAAGUAGCAGUAACAAGACUAUGAGAUAAAUGCCCAAUAUAAAUGAUGGAAGCAAGAAGUCACCAGAAUUGCAUGCUAUUCUUAAAGUUCUUUUGAAAGUCCCAAGGUAGAGUUUUAUACAGAGUUAUAGCAUCAUUGUAAAUGAAGACAAAAUAAAGACAUCUAAUAAUGUUAGACAUCCUAAGAAUAUUUCAGUAUCAAUUACCUCCUGCCCUUUGCAUGUUUAUUGGCAUGAAUUUAAAUUAUAUACACACACACCUACACACACACACACACACACAUAAAAAUUCUAGAGGGCAUUUAUUAUUUUGUAUAAUUCAAUUCAUGUUUAACUAUUUUCUAAUUAAAUUAUACCCAUAUUUUGUUUUUUUCUUUGUGUUUCAUUCCUUUCUGUACUUUCUUUUUUUCAUUUCAUUGUCCAAUCUGACAAUUGUAUAGACUUUGGUCUGUAGGCUAAAAACUGUUAGUUUUUGAUUGACUAAUAUGUCUUUAUUUUGUCUUCAUUAGUUUUUGAUUGAUGAAUAUGUCUUUAUUUUGUCUUCAUUUACAAUGAUGCUAUAAUUCUGUAUAAAACUUUACCUUGAGGCUUUUUAAAGAACUCAUAUAUAGCGUGUAAUUCCGGUGCCUUCUUGCUUCCGUGGCUUAUAUUGGAAAGUCAUCUUUCAGCCUCGUUACUGCUACUUUGAUGACCACAUGUUCACUUUCCCUGGGUGUCUUUAAGACUUUUUGUCUUGUUCCCCCAGCAGUUUUCCUGCAAUAUGCCCAUGGGUCAGGUUUCCUUUGAAUGUAUCCAUCUUGGCUUAACAGAUCUUUCUGAGUCUCUGGCCUGAUGUCUACCUUCAGUUUUGGAAAAAAUCGUGUGCUGUAUCCCAUCACAUUUUGCUUCUGUUCAGAUGUGAUUUUCCCACUGUUGUCACUCCACGUUUCCCCCAUGGGCUUGCUCUGCCCCUCCCAUCCACAAACUCACUCCCGUUUCUACUGUCGCCAUCUGGUCCGGGCCACCACCGUCACUCCCUUGGCCUGCUCAGAGGCCUCCUAACUCACCUCCUUAUUCCAUUCUCACCCCAGAUUAUCUGCUCCACAGAAACAGUGGCCAGGAUUAUACAGCGUAUAACAGGCACGUUCUUCUCCUGCUUCCAACACUUCUGUGGUUUCCAUUACGCUCAGAGCACAAACAAAAUCCCCGUACCACACUAAGCCCACCGCCUCUGGCUCUUGCCAACUUCCCAGCCUCCUCACCUGCCCUUUCCUCCUGCUCAUCAUGCUCCAACCACAGUGCUGUGUGCCUGUGCCUGUGUGUGCAGCACGGAUCUAUGUGUGCAUGCAUGUGUGUUUGUAUUUAGAUGUGUGUUUAUGCACACUUGUGUGUGUACGUACAUAUACAUGCAUGUACCUAUGCGUGUAUGGGUACAUACUCAUGCAUGUGUGAGUGUGUUACCUCAAUUAUUCCAAGGGGCUUGGUCUCAAGCCCUCUUCCCCUGAGACCCCGUUCCCCUUGCCUGCUUGUCCUCUGUCCUCAAGUGGCUGGAUCUUGAGAUGCCCGUCCUCUGGCCGGGCCACCCAUUCUGCCCCCUCACUAUUGUUCUUCGUCUUGGUGCUGUGUGUGUUCCUCACAACCCUCAUCUCUGCCACUUUCACUUGUUUCUUUGCCUAGGUUACCUAACUCUGUUUGCUUUGUGUGUGUGUAUUGGGUGUAAGCGUCUCAAUAGAAAACAGACUUCACAAGGCAGGGCCGGUUCUGUUCCAAGCUCGCUGUCUGCACCUGCUGAGUAUUUUGAACACAUGGAUAAAUGAUGGCUUGAGGCUCAAUAGAUAUUUGUUGGAUUGAUCGAUGGUGUAAUGCCUGUCUUUAAGUACAAACUGCAAAGUGAAGCCACCCAGAUUUAUUUCCUUUCUCUGGACCAAGUGUCCCAAACUGAACACUGAGACUGAGGCAGAUUUGAAAUGAUCCAGCCCCUUGGUUCCCACCCCUGAGUGGUCUCAGAAGCCUUCCCCUUGAGCCUCCAACCCUUUCAGUCCUUCCUGAGACUGCGAUCUUAGCAGACACCCUGGGGCUAGUUCAAGAGGUAAAAAAUCCACUGAGAUUUUAUGCUGGUUCCGAAGUUCUUUAUAGAUCAUUCCACGGCUUCUGAUGUCUACGUGUUUAUCCUGAACAUUUCUUCUGUGUCAGAACAACAAACACAUGCUUCCCCUUUGCAUGCCCAGCGGGCACCAUGGAUUAACAAGCAGCUACUGGGCUGGGCUGGGCCAGGCACUGCCCGUGUAUGACACAGAACCUGCCGGAAGCAUGUGCUACUGUGGUUCCCACUUUGCAUCUGAGGAAAGUGAGACUCCAGUUUCUAUGCCCAAGGUCAUGUGGCAAUGGCCCUGGAUCCAGGUCUCUGGGACACAGCCCAAGCUCCUCUCCGCUGGCCUAGACUGGCCAUGGCUCUGUAGCAUGAUUGGGGGGGGUGACCAUGUGCACCCUCAGCCCAGUGACUGACCCCUGUAGUGGUACCUCCGAAGGUGUCUUGUUAAACUUGAGUCUGAUCAUUUUCCCUCCCUGCUUAACUAGCCUUGCAGCAUUCCUGUUCCUGGAGAUCAAACGUAAAAUUCUUGGCAUUGCCUGGAAGACUGCACAUGACUUUUUUUUUUUUUUUUUUUUUUUUUUUUUGACGGAGUCUCUCUGUGUCACCAGGCUGGACUGCAGUGGCAUAAUCUCGGCUCACUGCAACCUCCACAUCCCAUGUUCAAGCGAUUCCCCUGGCUAGCCUCCUGAGUAGCUGGGAUUACAGGCACACGCCACCCCGUCCGGCUAAUUUUUUGUAUUUUUAAUAGAGACAGGGUUUCACCAUGUUGGCCAGGAUGGUCUCGAUCUCUUGACCUCGUGAUCUGCCUGCCUUGGCCUCCCAAAGUGCUGGGAUUACAGGUGUGAGCCACUGCGCCCAGCCGGCGUCUUUCCCUACUGUAUCCAUCUACUUGGGCUGCCAUAGUUAAGUAUCACAAGCAACUUAGACAACAGAAAUGCAGCUUCUCGCCGUUUUGGAGGCUGGAAGUCUCAAAUCGAGGUGUCAGCAGGGUUGUUUCCUUCUGAAAGCUGUUAGCGAGUUCCAGGCCCCUCUCCAGUUUCUGGGGGUCUCAGGCACUCCUUGGCUAAUCGAUGGUCUUCUUCCCCCUGUGUGUUCAUGGGGUCUCCCGUAUGCGUGUCUGUCUGUCCCCAUUUAGCCCAUGUAUAAAGGACACCAGUCAGAUUAGAUCAGGGCCCACCCUUAUCACCUCAUCUUGACUAUCUGCAAAGACUCUACUUCCAAACAAAGUCACAUUUACAGGUACUGGGGGUUAGGACUUCGGCAUAUUUUGUGAGGCAUGAUUCAACCCAUAACACACACCCCUUCAGCCUCUGCCCUGCCCCCUUGGCCUUAUUUUUGUACCUGCAACCCACAAACCUUUCCUGCCUCAGGGCUUUUCCCAGCCUGGAACUCACCCCUCCCACCCAGCUCAUUGCCUCUUGGCCCUGAACUCCCCUCUCUAAUUUGGAUCCACUGUUCUUUGUCUCCAUGCCAUGCUCUCCUUACCCUUCCCAGUUGGAGGCAUUUAUGCAUUUAAUGUCAGGGUCGGUGAAUUGUAUACUGAGGCCUGGGACCCUCUCGUUCUAUUCACGAUGGCUUCUCCAGGCCUGAAGUGGUGUCUGACACACAAAGCACACUCAGUAUAGCAGAUGGAAUAGGCAUUGGUAUGAGCUGGUGGAAUUAAACUCGCUUGCUCGUUCUGAGACUGAGGACGCGCUGGUUCACACCGCCGGUUAUGACGCGACACACGUAAACACAGAAAGGAAGCCAAUAUUGUGGGUGAUGGCCCAGUGCCCUGGGGGACCCACACGGCUGCAGCGUGCAUCCGCCGUCCCACCAGGGGCCACUCAGCCCUUCUCGGAGCUCUCUGGGGACACAUUUCUUCGGGACAUCAGAAAACGAGGUGGCGUUGUUUCCUUAUAGAACAAAGUCAAUUAGAGGGUCCAGGCGAACAUCAGCAGUUUCGGUGCCUUAUUCCCCUCGGGAAGGUGUGUGCCACAUUCAUAAAACCUGAAGGGCGUCCGGGAGCCGAGAGCUACAGAUGGCUACUGUCUGUGCCAGGCAGACUGUGCAGCCUCAGAGGAAGCCCGGUGCUUCCAGGGUAGAGGAGAGGCCCCAUCAGGACUCAUCCAGGCCCCGGCACAAGUCCAGGGGUCAACCUGGAGGCAUCAGGCACCAUUGGUCAGAAUGCUCUGCUGGCCAACAGUGGGCACCAAAUUCAGAAGUGGGCAGCUACAUUAAAAAUGGGGAAGCAACUUCGAUGUUCCUCAGCAGAAGCUUGUCUAAGUCCUUUACUGUCCACCCACAGACCAGAGUCCUGGCCAGGCAGGACAUGUUUCUCUCAGAGGGACAAUGAGUGAUGUGGAAAGUGUUCACGGGUAUUUUAUGUGAAACACAUUACAGCACAUUCGAAUGUUCCAGAGCCUCGGGCACAUCUGAUUUCAAGGUUGAUAAAAUGUUGUCUGCAUCAACCAUAGGGAUCUGCACACACAUAUGUCAUCUACGCACGUAUGUGUUACGUAUAUAUCAGGUGGAAAAAUAAGGCUGGGAUGAUUUAGCGAGAUGACUUGCUUUUCUAGCUGACCCUUUAAAUUUAUUCAGCAAGGUUCUCUUUUCUCCUGCCCUGUAUGAAAACACAGGCAGCACCAUGAAUUUCCUUGUCACUCUCGGGUAAUAAAAGAUACCCAAGUUGGUUAUUAGUAUGCUCAGUCCAGUGUAAUAAUCAAAACUCUGAACAGGAUUGAAAGCGGGGGCCUCUCCCAUCUCUGUAUUCAGACCUGCUCCGGGCAGAAAACCUGCAGGAGGCACUAGGGGUGUGGCCAGCUGUCCCCUUCCUCCCCACCUUGUGUUCUCCCUCCUCUCAUCUUGUUAAAGUUUCACCCCAUCAGGGUUCUUAUUUGAGUGGUACUCCAGUGAGUUGGGUCUGGAAGGGGCUCAGAGCUGCCUGGUGGGCCCAUGAAUACAUUUUUUCUGAGGUCCUUUCUUAGCAGCUGGGGGCUCCUGUGUGGCACGCGGAGGAGGGCAAAGGUCUCUGUCCCACUGCCCAUUCUUCUGUCCUCAGCCCGGGGCCUCCUGGGGCCUCCAGCUGCUUUCUGCUAAGGUGAUUUUGACUAUCCCAAGGACAUGGGCUAGGAUGACCCCCUUUUGCUUGCUUUUCCCUCUGCCCACAUCUGUGCACAGCAAUCCUUUUUAUUUUAUUUUAUUUUAUUAUUUUUAUACUUUAAGUUUUAGGGUACAUGUGCACAAUGUGCAGGUUAGUUACAUAUGUAUACAUGUGCCAUGUUUGUGUGCUGCACCCAUUAACUCGUCAUUUAGCAUUAGGUAUAUCUCCUAAUGCUAUCCCUCCCCCCUCCCCCCACCCCACAACAGUCCCCAGAGUGUGAUGUUCCCCUUGCUGUGUCCAUGUGUUCUCAUUGUUCAAUUCCCACCUAUGAGUGAGAAUAUGCGGUGUUUGGUUUUUUGUCCUUGCCAUAGUUUACUGAGAAUGAUGAUUUCCAAUUUCCUUAUGUGUCCUUUGCACCCAAAACUUCUGGAAAAGCAGAGUUGAUUCAGGGCCUGAGAUCUUCAAAGGCUCUUUGGCGAUUCAGUUGUGUUUCUAGCUUGGAAAUGGCUUGCUCACAUCUCACUUGACCUAGGUUUUGGGGCCAAGAGGAAAAGUUUGAGACUCAUGUGGGGGUCAGGGAGUUGGCAAGGAGUGAGGGAGGCUGUCUGAGCUGCUUUAAUUUUAGAUUUUCCUUGACUAGGCAAAAAGAGCGCUCCCUAAGAUGAAGCUGAGCUCACCAGGGCCCUUUAGUGGGGUCUGAGUCUUCAGUGCAAUAAAACGUGUUCAUUUGCAGGUCAUUAUCUCCUGGGUGAAUUGGUCCCUCAAGGGCAAUGAGGGGAGGGAUAGCUGUAACUGGUUCUCUGGGGUGUGCUGGCUGUAGCUCUCCCUCAUCACUGGUCACCGUGAGGACCACUCAGUAGUGUGUUCAGGGAGAAAUGACACAGAUAGCCAGAUUGUCACUGUAGAAAGAUUUCAGUCUUGGUGGCCUAACUUCUGUGGGUGAUGGAUGGAAGAGCUAUCUAACUAUAAGGUGACUUCUUUGAAUAAGAUUUUUUUUUUUUUUGAGACAGAGUCUCGCUCCAUCGCCCAGGCUGGAGUGCCUGCACUGGAGUGCAGUGGCGCGAUCUUGGCUCACUGCAAGCUCCGCCUCCCGGGUUCACACCAUUCUCCUGCCUCAGCCUCCUGAAUAGCUGGGACUACAGGCACCCACCACCACACCCGGCUAAUUUUUUUGUAUUUUUAGUAGAGACAGGGUUUCGCCAUGUUAGCCAGGAUGGUCUCGAUCUCCUGACCUCGUGAUCCGCCCGCCUCAGCCUCCCAAAGUGCUGGGAUUACAGGCGUGAGCCACCGCACCCGGCCUGAAUAAGCUAUUUUUUAGAACAGUUCUAGGUUUGCAGAAAAACUGCAAAGAUAAGGUAGAAAAUUUCCACAUAUGUCACAUCCAGCUUCCCUACUAUUAACAUAUCCCAGUAGAAUGGUACGUUUGUCAUAAUUGAUGAACCAAUACAGACAUGCCUUUAUUAACUAAAUUUCAUAGUUUAUUUUGAUUUCUCUAUGGUGUUUUGUUAUAAAUCUAAUAAAUCUAAUGGCCUUUAUUUUUCUGUUCCAGAAUCUCAUAUAACAUUUAAUCAUCAUGUCUCCUUAGAUUCCUACUGGCUGAGCCUGUUACUCAGACCUUCCUUGUUUUUCAUGACCUAGACAAUUUUAAGGAGUGUCAGGGAUUUUGUGGAAUGUCCCUUAAAUGGGGUUUGUCUGAUGUGCUUCUCGUGGUUUGACUGCGGUGACCACAAGGGCGUGGUGCCCUCUCAUCACACUGUGCCAGGUGCUUGCUGUCAAUGUGACCCUCGCUGGUUGGUGCUGACCUUCGCCACCUGGCUGAGGUGUAUUCAUCAGGUUUCUUUACUGUAGAGUUCAUCUUUCUUCACCUCUCCAUACUGGACUCAUAGCAAGGAAGCCACCAUGCCUAGCCCAAGUUAAAGGGGGAGUAACUCCAUCAAUCAUUUGAAAUUCUUCUGCACGUCAGAUUUGUCUCUUUUCUCCUACUUAUGAAUUUAUGCAGUCAUUUACUCAUCAGCGUGGGUUCAUGGAUACCCAUUUGAUCCUCUGGGUUACAAUGCGGAGUGACGUUCUUUUGUUGCUCACUUGUUCCAGCGCUGGCUAUCGGGUCCCCUGGAUGCGCCACUUCACUGUGGGUGGUGUGAGCCCUUCCUCACUUUCUGGCCCUACAAGAUGCUCCAGGCUCAGCUUGUACACUCCCUGCCCAGCCCUAGAGUCAGCUGCUUCCCCAAGGAGCCCAGGUUCCUUCCACUGGAUCACGGAAUCGGAAACCAAAGUAGAUGGGGAAGGAAGCGAGCGUAUGAGACUGAGGGGAACAGAGCAGGACGUGAGGGCAACGGCGGGGCAGGGCCCACCCUUUCUGUGUUCAGACCCCUCAUCUUCAACCUGAAAGUCAUCACAGUCAUUGUCCCUUCCCACCAAGGAGGGGCCCUGGGGAAUUCCUUCUCCUUGUCCCCAUAGAUCUGGGCUUAUGUCCUCUGUACCAAGACUUUCCCACCACUGUCAUCCUGAAAAGGGAGACCACAGCACUGAUGUAAAGCAGAGAGAGAUGCCCUGCGUGGGGAAGAAGGCACAGUGGGCAGAAGCUGGGAGGUGGGUGCGGGGCAGCGAGUGUCAUGGGGGCAGCGAGGGUCACAGGGGCAUCCUGUCCCAGCGAGGGCAGGCCAGGAGCCACGGCCUUGAAGCGUUUCGGGGACAGCCACUUCCAGUGGUCCUGCUCGGUGUCUUCCAUACUUGACUUCCGUGCCACGGCUUUCCCCCAUGCCUUGUCCUAAACUCACCCCAGGGUCAGGGGGACUUUGGCACCGCCAGGCCUCACUUGGUGCAGACAUCUCUCUCCUAAGUGCUCUCAGAUGGACAAUCUCAUUUGACCCUGAAGUGGUUUUGGCAUUUGCAGUGUCUGAUGAGGAAACUGAGUCCCAGGGAAGUUGAACAAGUUGUCAGAGGCCACGUACGUCUUCCACAGCAGAUGCAGGAUGUGAGGCGCGUUCAUGGGGGUUACAGAACUUUGCUGUUUCACACGGGGAAGCCGCCGUUCAAGGUCACGUGUCUAGUAAGUGAUGACGCAGAUCUCCGUUUUCUAGUAACUGUGCAACCCGAUGUUUGUUGAUUUAAUACAAUUCGAAUCAUCGGGAUUUUCCAAAGCUCUUUUGUUGAGGCCUAGAGUCAUGACGUCACUCAGCUCCGUCCACAGGGAGCCAUGCUCAGGGAGCUGCCCAGGCAAAGUGGGACUCUGCCUCCAUUUUGGCCCAUGGAGAACCUUCUCCUGGAGGCAGGCAAGGGUGGGAUCUGGGGCCUCCCCCACCUGCAGCUGAUCAAUAUCUCCUGGGCUUCCUUCCAACAGAAGAACACUUAGAACUUUUGCUGCAGCCGGGGGCCAUGCCCUGGGGCUGUCCUUCCAAAUUCUCAUACCUGCCAAGGACCCCUGGCUGCUGCUAAUUGAAGAGCACCAAAGGUUAAUGGUGGAAGGUUAACAGCAGGGCCUAGUGCUUUGGGGCUGAAAGCCAAGUCUCAGAUGAUGAAGGCUGGGGAGACCUUCUAGACGCUUCCUUUUAUCAGCGUGGGUAUUUAUCAGUUCACCUACAAGUGGGGGGCAGGGGUGACUUACUUCAACCCUGUGAACUGGCUUUCCCCGACAGCCACUGCUGUAACGACGAUGAAGUUGCCCUGGAACGCGCGUGCGUCCACAUUCAUUGCACCCCUUCCCAGUAAAGUGGAUGAACAGGUGUGACUGCUGCAGGACAGAUGAGGAUGCUGGCUGAGAGAGGUGCAGCGGCGAGCCCAGGGCUGGACCUGAAGCCAUAUUCUGUGCUUAUCCGUGCCUGUCUUCCCAAUGCUCGGGCUAAGUCUCUGGAUUCUGAAUGAUCGCCAUUUGCCUGUACUUGGCUUUCUUGUGAUUUGGGGAUUCUGGGAGUUCCCACGCCUUUGCUUCUCUGUGUGCACCUGCAGCCCAAUGCCAGCAGCCACAGCAGCACCAUAGAGCAGAAAGCAGAGUGCCAGCACCAUGGACCAGCACCCAUGCACCCGCCCCCUGCCCACCUGGAACACUCCAGGCUCCCUGAGCCUACUCCAAGCCUCUGCUCAGCCAGUCUGUCCCUUUCUCUGCGUCUUCGCCUGUGCUGAGGGUCCCUCUGCCUGAAGUACUCUGACUGCGGCCCUGACCACCCCCAGGCUCCUCUCCAUCUGUCUGCACAUGCCAGGGCCUUGUCCUCCUUCAGCCCCGGUCACCUCCAGAAGCCUCAGCUAGCACAGCCCUCCCCUGCACACGGCUAUCACAGCCCCGUGUGCCUGCCUCACAACAUCUCCCCAAACCCCAGAGGCCUUUUCCUGGUUGUCCUGGCUUCCUUGAAUGUCAGUUCUGCUGGAGCUGCCAGAGGCGGCUGGAGCCCUGACUUGUCUCCCUGUCUCGCCACUGUGCCCGGGCCCUGGAAGAGUCCCUGGUGAUUCCAGGCAGGCAGUCUUUAUCUCCCCAGGAACAAGGAUGAAGGGAUGAGCGUGGAUGUGGUAGCGUGCACCUGCUUUCUGCUUUAUUCCGGGACAAUGGGAAGUGGAUGGCAACCUCCUCAUAAUGGAUGCCUGUGAGCCCAUUGGGGGCCGGAUGGAAUCUCUUCCUUAGAUGUGUGCCUUGGGAAUGUUUGCCCCAACUCUGCAUGUGUGAGACAGAGAGAAGGAGGGGUGGGUUUAAAAUGAAAAAUUAUAUAUCCUACCUAUUAGGUCACGAGAAUAUGACAAAGAAAAGUAAAGCAGACUCAGGCAUAGUGACAGGAGUACUGUUUUGAAUUUACUGGGAAGGUGAUAUUUUAUCAAGGGUUCAGUUGAGGACAGGAGUGUGACAUGAAGGUAUCUUGGAGAUGAAGAGUCCAGGUCAGGGGAGUGACUCAUGCAAAGGCCCUGGGGUGGGAGUGUAGCAGAGAGAUGGGAGCAGAGAGAGGAGGGCUGAGUGGCUGCAAGUGGCUAAAGGGGCGACAGCAAGGGGAUGGAUGGGAGAGGGGCUGUGGCCAUGGCAAGAAUGGGGACUCUAUUCUGGGUGAGGGGCAGCCAUGAGGGGCCAAGCCAGUGAGGCAGGGUGGGACACACUUUGCAGGGGUUCCCCUGGCUGCCGGCUGCAUGGAGAGCAGUCCAUGAGGCACCAUGUUGCUGGCCUGGCCAUGGGUUGCUCUAACAGAGGCAUGCCUGAGUGACUGCCCAGAUAUUUUACCUCUUUUGAUUCGAUGUGUUAAUUUAUAUUUUCUUACUAAACUGUUGAAUCACACAGAGUCUAUUAAAGAUGUCUCUUACAUCCUUUUUACUUUCCCUUCAUCUAUUGUCAUAACCCUCUUCUGUGACUUUUUCUCUUUUUCUGAGUUAGGCUGGAGAGUUGUUGAUUAAAAAAUAUCAGUCUAUAGAUUUGCUUCAUUUCAGUGUUAUUGUUUUGCUAUUAUCUAUUUAGUUUUGCUCUGACCUGUGUUAAUUUGGUUUUGUUUAUGCUACACUUCUUUGUUUCUCUUUUAUUAAUUUGUUGAGUUGAAUCUUUAUUUUUUAUUUAUUCCUGAAAUGGAGUCAUUUCUCAGAGCUCUAUCGACGUAUUUACUUUGUCUGGUAUGUGAGAUUCCUUCCCACUUGCCAAGGUCAAGCAGAUUUCCUCUUAUUGAGCUUCUUUACAGGGUUCCUGCUGCCAUUGAUAUGUUGCCUCUUCAACCCCAUCAGUUUCCUGCCCCUGAGAAUCACACUGUCCCCUCUUUGUUUUCGUGUUCUUCCUGAGGUCUUUCUUCAUUGUGCCCUUUCCUCUUCAUUCUGUGAAAUGUUCUCGAAUCUGCCUUUGAUAGCAUUAUUUUUAUUUUCUUCAGGAUCAGUUCUCAUCUUAUUAAACUUGAAUGGAUAUUAUGUCUGUGAAUUACCUUUUUUAAAAAUGUCUUAAUCAUUAAUUCAUCUCAGAAUAUCCUUUGACCAUGAUAACAUUUGUCUUAUUUGAUAGACACUGUAUUUUCUUUCAUAUCCUAGGAGGUCAACUGCAGAGGCUGCUCACAGUUACAUGCGUGUGUGCUGUCAGUCAGCAGCAACAGACUCAGGGCCUCCCGUGGGUUCAGGGGACACAGCAGAGAAAAGAGAGGCUGGCCCUGCUCUCCUGGAGCCCCCUUCUCAGGAAGAGACAGACAUGCAUGCACAAGGGAGAUGUGAUUUAAGAUUUAAGGUGGAAAUAAAUGCAACCAGGGGAGGUGGACCGUGUGACAGGGGCCUCGCUGGCUUCUGUGCUGGUCAGGGCAGACUUCCUGGAAGUGUCAGGGGUGCAGAACAUGAACCACACAAAAGAUCCACCCUGAAAACCAGCUGAGGAGGAGGAUUCUGGGCAAAGGGAUAGAUGGGUAAGCUCCCAGGCUUGUGGGAAAAAGCAUAGCCAGUGUGAAAGUCUGAGAAAUACAAGUAGGGAUGAUGCCAAACAAAACUAAUAUUCAUUUAAUCAGUUGAGCACAAAAUUCCCUACCUGAGCAACAACACUGGGAGGUGGAAGGGGGAAAGAGGUAGGAGGCAAAAACAGGACAAUUCUCAUUGUGCUUUGCAUAGGAAGGGGCCAGUAAAUAUGAUUUUAUUCUUGAGAUUGAUCUACAAGAAGAGGGUCAACUGAGUGGCUUACUGGAGAGGUAAGCACUAGUAGAAUAAAAAUGAGCAUAAAGAAGAGUAUUUUUCAUCUAUCUGUCGUAUGGAAUUCACUUAAGCUGCAUCAUAUUUUCAUGUUUUUAGUUUUCUCCUCUGUUCACUUAUCCUUGAAUGAGGGCCAGAUCUACUGAGGCCUGCAGCUGGCUGUGAACACUGUGUGUGAAUCCUCUGGGGGCCUCUCUUUGUUCAAAAUAUUCAUAGUACUUAACAUUUCAAAUUCAAUAUUCAGGAGCCCAAGCAGAGAGGAGGGAACCAGGUCUGUGUGCCUGGGCUGCAGAGCCAGCUCUCCACCUGUUUUCCAUUUGGUGUGGGUUCCCAGCAUGCAUGAAACAUAACGUGGUGACAUUCCGCCUUCUUAAUGGAGUCCUGUCAUUAGUCAGUGCUUUUUCAAUUUCAGAGAGCGUUUUCUAACGUAUGGUCCAAUAUGCUACUUGGAGAGAGCUGGGUCACCAGCAAACAAGCAAACAUCAAAAACACUUUCCUCUUGGGUUUUCAUUCAAUUGAAUUACAUUUAGUGAAUAUUUACUGAGUUUCUGCUUAUGUGUCUGGAAGUGACCCAAUCUCAGAUCUCUUUAAGUUGAAAAAGAGUCUUAGUGCUAAGCUCUUGAUGGUAGGGCGGGCAGCCCCGGGGGCCUGGCAUCGUGAGGCACUCUGCAAGUCAAAAUGGGGGAGCAGAAAAGCCAGUGGCAAAGGGAGAAGCUCUGUCUACAGCAAAGCGGAAGAACGGACAGGAGUCCUGGAGGGAAGAAAACCAAGGAGACGAUUUCUCCUUCAGACAGAGGUCAUUGCCUUUAUCUAUGUGUGUGCCAUGUCAGUCUGGCUCAGCUGCUGCAGUGCGUGGUCCCGGAAACGUGCUUUCAGAAUCAAGAGGGACUGGUCAUCGUGAUGAAGUAUGGGUUGUGUGGGAUGUCUGGGAUGAGUGCGUCUAGGCACCCUGAAUGCUGCUGCCUCUGGAUGGUCCAGGCAGUCACUGCAAAGAACAAAAUACUCAUGACAUGCUUAAGGGCUUCGAUGCUAAGUGCAUCACUUACAUCAUCCCCUUAUCACAUUUCUUCCUGAUAAUAUGCCUAUGAAUCACAUUUAUUACCGCAUUCCGGGGAGGCACCUCUGGCUUGAGAGCUCUGGCGGGUCUUGGUUGUGUGGCUCUGAAGGCUGCCCCACUUUAAGACUCCAGGUCUUUCCCAUGUCGAUAACUCGGAUUUCUUUUGUGAGCUUUUCUGUGUCUGAUUCAGACUCAGCUGUCGCUUACCAGCCAGUGUCUGGCCUGGUCAGGGUUCAGGAUAGCGGAUCUGCACCAGGUUCCCUUUUCAGCUUUCAGUAGCCAGAACCACGUGGCUUACUGCCCCCUUUUGGGAUGUGGCUGUGUGUCUUAGAUUGUUUGGGUAGCUAUAACAAAAUAUCACAGCCUGGGUGGCUUUUAAACAGCAGAUUAAUUUCUCACAGCUCUGGAAGCUGGGGAGCCAGGAUCAAAGUGCUGGCAAAUUUUGUGGCUGGUGAGGGCCUGCUUCCUGCUUCAUAGAUGACACCCUCUCACUGUGUCCUCAUGUGGUGGAAGGGGGAGGGUCUCUCUCAGGCCUCUGUUAUAAGGGCACAGGUAUGGUUUGUAUCUGUGUCCCCACCCAAAUCUCACGUUCAACUGUAAUUGCAAUGUUGGAGGUGAAGUCUGGCGGAAGGCGAUUGGAUGAUGGGUGCGGUUUCUUGUGCUUUAACACUAUCCUCCUUGGUGCUGUCAUCGAGAUAGUGAGUUCUCACAAGAUCUGGUUGUUUAAAAGUAUGUGGCAUCUCCUCCCCCUCUCUCUUUCUCCUGCUCCAGCCAUGUGAAGUGCUGGCUCCCCUUUCAGCUUCCACCAUAAUUGUGUUUCCUGAGGCCUCUCCAGAAGCAGAAGCUGCUAUGCUUCCUCUACAGCCUGCAGAACCAUGAGCCAAUUAAGCCACUUUUCUUUAUAAAUUACCCAGCCUCAGGUAUUUCUUUACAGCAGUGUGAGAAUGGAGGAAUACAGGCACUAAUCCUAUUCACGAAGGUGGAACUAUCAUGAUUUAAUCACCUCCGAAAGGCCUCAUCUCCAAAUACCAUGACCUGGGCGGGGUUGGGGGUGGGGGCGGUUAGGAUUAAAACAGACGAAUUUUUGGGAUACACAAACAUUCAGACUUCCAUGAAGAUCCAGCCUGGAGGGAGAUGUGCCUUGUUUUGGCAGAGCCCACUCUCUUUGAGCUAAGGUCUAAUGUGCUCCAUGAAUAAACUGGAAGGAUCAGCGUCUCAGACCAAGACUUGCCUUGACGCGGGGAGCCCACUCCGAUGAUUGAAGAAGUGGAACGAUUGUGCCAACCUUCCUGGGAAAUGAUGCUCUAAAAACGUUUCCAUGUCAUCUCUUCUUCUGGGCUGCAAUGAGUAAUUUGCAUGUCAUUCUUAUCAGCUCACGCAAGGCAAUCAUUGCCAAUCGCUGCCAAGCCCACUGGCUGGCCUAGGAGGGAGCCAGCCAGAUGAGUUCUAACUGUUAAUCUUCCAGAAACAAAUACAACAGAAUAAAAUAAACCAGCUCUUGUUUCUGAUCCCGGGUAAUGGCUCUUUGAGGGUCCUUAGAAACUGUCUCUCCACCUUUCCUUUUCGCAGGUGAGAGUACUAGAAAUCACAGACACAGCAGGAUGGUCAACAUUGUUGGUUCCCAUGGGAGGAGAAGGAAAGUGGAUGAAAAGGUCUUAAAAAUAAGUUUCUGCAGAAGGUUUCCUGGUAAUAACCCUGCAGGCAUGUGAAGAAAAUGCCUCUUUUCCAGGCCGCCAGCUCCCUCGUGGCCUGGCUGUGUCACAUGCCUGGUUUUCAGACGGAGUGAUCCAGACCCUCAGUUGUCAUUCAGUGACUUUUACUUGAUCUUGUCGCAGGUGAAGCCUGGAACACACAUGGUGCUGUCACUGGGGUCCACCCAGCCCGGAGCAGAAAAGAAAUGGUCCCCUGUGGCCUCUUCCCUCUCACUCCCUCGCUCCUGUGCAUCUCAGGGACGGUAGACCGUCCUUCCGUUUGCCUCCCACUCACAGUUCCAAAAAGUACCACGUCCAGGGCUUUUGAUCAGGCUGAAAUCUCCUGCUCUGUGCAGGGACUAGAAUCAGAAAAAUGCAGGAUUCAGGGCUGGUUCUGUGUGGUGUUAUUCACCUCAGUUUCCUCAUAUGAAAAAUGAAAAUUGAGGUAUUGCUUACACAUUUCUUAUUAGAACUUGAAGGCUGGGCAUGGUGUCUCACGCCUGUAAUCCCAGCAUUUUGGGAGGCCAAGGCGGGCGGAUCACGAGGUCAGGAGAUGAAGGCCAUCCUGACUAACAUGGUGAAACCCCGUCUCUACUAAAAAUACAAAAAAAAAAAAAAAAAUAGCUGGGCAUGGUGGCAGGCACCUGUAGUCCCAGCUACCUGGGGGGCUGAGGCAGGAGAAUAGCUGGAACUCUGGAGGCAGAGGUUUCAGUGAGCCGAGAUCGCACCAAUGCACUCUAGCCUGGGUGACAGAGCAAGACUCAAUCUCAAAAAAAAAAAAAAAAAAAAAAAACACAACAGAACUUGAUAUAAUGUAAAUGUAAAACAACUGACUAUAACAUGCAGUGCCCGAUAAGUGGUAUAUUUAAUUGUUACCACAUAAAAUGCUGCCAUUGCAGGUGCCUCUUGUUUUAACCUUGUGCGUUGAUUUUUGUUCGAAUCCAUUCAUCCACCCAUCCAUUCAAUGACUGUUUUAGAUGCUCACCACAUUCCAGACACUGCUCACUGUUGUUUUCCAAAAACAAAUGCUUCUUGCUGCCAACCGUGCAUGUCUUUCCACUGCUCAAGGAGCCUGGCGCCCCUCUCUCGGUGCAUUACCCAACACCACACACAGGAGAGCAAACAGCAGCCUUCAUAGGCCUUCCUCAGAGGAAGCAGAGGAAGAGGAAAGGUCAGACCUGCUUUGACAGCUCUUCAUUGUCUUGCCUGCACUGCCCAGCCUAUUCUUAAUGAAAACUAAGCAUUUGUUCCCCAAAUAUUUACUGACUUCAUUUGCGUGCCAUGCCAAACGAAAGCUCUUGUUCCAAGAUAUUGUUUCUAAACGUGCAGCUUUUUCCUCACUAGCUGUUUCUGGGGUUAUAGUCACUUGUAGUGAUUGCUGGCUGUCCUGGUGUCCCCCUGCUGAGAAGCAGGAGCCAUUGCUAGGUUCUAGAACCACAAGUUGGGCAAAGCGGAGGCUUCAGAGAUAGAAUCCCCUACUAGAUUGCUUUUUCAAUGUCACCCAGAUCGUUACUAUUUGACGUCUUUUUCCUUCCUUGGAAAACAAUGCUUAUGAUACCUACGUUAGGGUCAACGUAAGAAGUGAAUGUGUUAACAUUUGUAACUUGAAAACACAGGGUUUCUGCCAAAGAAAGAAGACUAAACAGAGGUUGAGAGUCCACUAACUCUGCUUCGAACACAGAAAUGUUGGAUUAAACAUGUUGAAUGUAAGAAAUAUAGGUCAGGUUGAAAAUAAGGAGAAUCACCGCAUGCUUGAAAUAUAGAUGUGCUUUCUAGCCAAAAAGUCAGACAGAGUCGCAGAGGCGUGGCCCUCCACUUGGUGCUGACAGGCUCAUCAGGAUCUGAGGUGGAGCGAGUUAAAGGAGCCAUGUCGAGAGGGGCUUCCUGCAUAAAGUGCUGCGUCCUUUGUGAAAAGGGCACUGUGGAGUUUACAGCUGGUGUUUCCUGUCUGUCCACUCAGAAGCAAACCAUCUUCCCAAGGCCACGGGUAAAAGCAAAGCAUCUCCAACAAAACAAAAUCUGAGCCUGUAUUGUUAGUAUGUGAGAGACAUGAAUUUCCUGUUGAACGUGGUGCAGAAACCCUGAGUGUGCUCAUAUGCACACUCACACUCACACACACAUUUAUCCUAGAUCAGUGGAACCAAUAGGGCGCCAAUAUAAGCAAAGCUUAAACUCUGAGUAACACAUAACUUUCACUGAGAAUAAAAAAUACAGAAUAAAAAAUACAGAUUCGCUUCAGAAAUCCACCCAAGAAAAUGAAUAAACAAGGUCAUCUCAUGCAAUUUGAAGAAGGUAUUUAACAUCCUUAAAAAGACAACACAAAGAGUAGAUUACAUUAAAAAUGAAAACAUGAAGAUUAGUGUAGAGUUUUACUUUUGGUUAUAAUAAAACAAAUAAUGUGGACCGACAUUCCUAUUGCAAAACAACUAGAAAAAGAGGCAAAACUUUUGGAACUGCAUUGAUGGUAUCAGAGAGCUCUCGAGGCAGAGAAGCAUUAUGGGGCCAAGAUGUGGCGGAAGAAGAAAACUCACAGAGGUGGCCCUGGCAUGUGGAGUCAGCAUUUGCUCCAUUCCAGCACCAUCUGAUGACUUGUUCUGUGUUGAUGAAGAUGCUGUAUGUCUUCUCUGUCCACUGAGGCAGCCACUAGCCACACACGGCCACUGAGCACCUAAUAUGUGACCACUGUGGCUGAGAAUCUGAAUUUUAGAUAUUAUUUAAUUUUAAUUAACUCAAUGUAACUAGUGGUUGCUAUAUAGGAUAGCACGGCUCUAAAAGCAUUUGCCAAAUUUGGACAAAGCAGCUGAGAGGCUGGGAGGCUAGUAGGAGCUUUCAUCUGACAAUUGGAACGGGGGGACAAAAUCGCAAUAUUAAAGCCCAGAUCUGCUCAGAAUGGGGAUGAAAUGGAUGAUGUUAUGAGACGCUCAGCCUCCCUUCAAGACACAAUAUUCUUUGUGUUGUCUAUUUGAGGCCAGGGGUCAGCAAAUGACAGCUCAUGAGCCAAAUACGGCUCACUGCCUAUUUUUGUAGAUGACGUUUUAGAGGAAUGCAUCCACCUUCAUCUGUUCUUUAGAGUGGAUGGCUGCUCUCACACUGCACCCGCAAAGAUGAAGAAUUGUGACAGCCCGUAGGGGCUGCAAAGCCUUAAAUAUUUACUAUCUGGCCCUUUACAGAAGAAGCUUGUCUAGGUGCUGACUCCCCAGGCUUCCAGGAGUGUUGGCAGGUGACAGGUCAUAGAUGACUUGCUCUUAGCUGAAGGGAAGUACUUUCCCCAGGGCUACACAUUCUGCCUGGGGCUGUACAGACCCAUUGCCUGGUGAUGCACGGUAAAGAGUUGGUCCCCUCACAUAAAUUGAGGACAGCAAUUAAGGGCCACUGCAGCUCCAGAGCUCCCACGGGAUCAGCCAAGGCUUCCGAUAGAACUGCAUCCCGGUUCUUUGCCCUAUCCUGCCUCCUUUCCUCUCUCAUAGCCUUGUUCCCAAGAACACUCCCCCAAAAUCUUCAGCAAACAAAUCUUUGUCUCACAGUCAGUUUCCUGAGAGCUCUGCCUAAGAAAGGAGUUCAGCAAUUCUCCUCAAAACCUUUGAUUGGUGACUCAAAGGAAUAUAUUCUAGGAGUAAGAGUAAAACAGAAAGAGAGGAUCUUAAAGGGGGAUAAUGCCCAGGUUCAAACUGAGCUUGCCUUGACUAAAGACCCUGAGAUUACUAGUGUUUCUAGUGUAGCCACUGGCCGGAAGCAAAUAUAAUUCCUCUCUAGAAAAAGACAACAUUAUCUGAAACAUUAAGCUCUGAACUUUUCAAAUAUAGUGUCCAGCAUUUACUAAAAGUAUCCAGGCAUGUGAGACAACAAUACAGCUGCAAACCCAGAAGAAACAAUAGGUAUUAAGAGCAAAUUCCUAGGAGAUUAAGGUGAUACAUUAGGAAAUAUUCCUUCAAAUAAAUAUAUUUUAUAUUCCCAAGGAAAUAAAAGACAAGAUUAAAAAGUUAUGUAGAAAAUUGGCAACUAAUAAAAAAAUUUAGAAUUAUAAAGCAAAGGAAACAAAUCAUCUAAUGGAAGGAUUUACAUCAACAUUAGACACAGCUGAAUAGAAAAUCAGAAAACUGGAAGACAGGCCAGAAGAAAAUAUUCAGGCAUGUGCUUAGUGAUAAAAAGACUUUAAAGAUAUAUAAAAAAUAAUUAGAAGCAUAGGGACUAUGGUGUAAAAAUUUAAUAUAUGUGUAAUUAAAGCCCUACAAGUAGAGGGAAAAGAAUACGGUAUAAGACCAAUAUUUGAAAGCAAUAGGAUGAGAAUUUUCCAAAAGUGACUAUAAAUACCAAGUCAUACCAAACAUGAAACCUAGGCAGAACAAAUGAAAAGAAAAGCACAAUCACAAUAUAGAAAACCUCUGCACCAGUAAGAAUGGCAAUUAUUAAGAAGUCAAAAAAAAAUAACAGAUGCUGGGAUGGUUGCAGAGAAAAAAAGAAUGCUUAUACACUAUUGGUGGGAGUGUAAAUUAAUUCAACCAUUGUGAAAGACAGUGUGGUGAUUCCUCAAACACCUAAAAACAGAAUUACUGUUUGACCCAGCAAUCCCAUUACUGGAUAUGUAUCCAAAGGAAUAUAAAUUGUUCUAUUAUAAAGAAAAAUGUAUACAUAUGUUCAUUGCAGCACUGUUCAAAAUAGCAAAGACAUGGAAGCAACCUAAAUGCUCAUCAGUGGCAGACUGCAUAAACAAAAUGAAGUACGUAUUCACCAUGGAAUACUAGGCAGCCAUGAAAAAAUAAGAUUAUGUCCUUUGCAGGAACAUGGAUGGAACUGGAGGCCAUUAUUCUUAGCAAAGUAACACAGGAACAGAAAACCAAAAACUACAUCUUCUCACUUAUAAGUGGGAGCUAAAUAAUGAGAAUACAUGGACACAUAGAGGGGAACAACACAUACUGGGGCUUGUCACAUUAGUGAUAUUUUCUCAAAUUAGCUCAGUGGAGGGUGGGAGGAGGGAGAGGAUCAGAAAAAAUGGCUAAUGGCCACUGGGCUUAACAUAAUACCUGGGUGACAACCCCCCAUGACAAAAGUUUACCUACAUAACAAACCUGCACAUGUUCCCCUGAACUUAAAAGUUAAGUUAAAAAAAAAAAAGAAAAAAAGAAAACCUCUGAAAACCAAAGACAGAAAAGCUUAAGGUUGAUAAAAAGUUAAAAACAACAACUACCCAGAUUUCCUUCAAAGGAGUAAGAAUAAACUGACAGCUCAUUUCUUAAUGGAAAAAUGAAAGCCUAGAGAUAAUGGGUGAAUGAUGAAAGAGUUGAAAUGAGAAAUUAAUAGCAACAAAAUAACUAGAAAAUCCUCACAUAUGUUAAAAUUAAACAGCACAACUUUAAACAACUUUUUUUUUUUUUGAGAUGGAGUCUCACUCUGUUGCCCAGGCUGGAGUACAGUGGCACGAUCUUGGCUCACUGCAACCUCUGCCUCCUGGGUUCAAGCAAUUAGCCUGUCUUAGACUCCCGAGUAGCUGGGAUUACAGGCACACACCACCACUCCUGGCUAAUUUUUGUAUUUUUAUUAGAGACAGGGUUUCCCCAUGUUGGCCAGGAUGGUCUCGAACUCCUGACCUCAUGAUCCGCCCACCUCGGCCUCCCAAAGUGCUGGGAUUACAGGCAUGAGCAACCGUGCCCAGCCUAAACAACUCUUUGGUCAGAAACAUCAAUAUAAAACUUGGAGGCCGGGCGUGGUGGCUCACACCUGUAAUCCCAGCACUUUGGGAGGCCAAGGUGGGCGGAUCACGAGGUCAGGAGAUCGAGACCAUCCUGGCUAAUAUGGUGAAACCCCGUCUCUACUAAAAAUACAAAAAAUUAGCCAGGCGCGGUGGCGGGUGCCUGUAGUCCCAGCUACUCGGGAGGCUGAGGCAGGAGAAUGGUGUGAACCUGGGAGGCGGAGCUUGCAGUGAGCUGAGCUGAGAUCACGCCACCGCACUCCAGCCUGGGUGACAAAGCGAGACUCCGUCUCAAAAAAAAACUUAGAAAAUAUUUUGAACUGAAUGUAACAAAAAUAAUACAUAGCAGAAGCUAUGAGAUAAAGCUAAACUAAUGCUUAAGUGCAAAAUUAUUUAUGAAAUGGAAAUCUGAGAAAAGCAAAGUGUGCAUUUGCCAAUAUAGGAUGAUAGAAUAUAUUUUAGGUAAUAAUUUGUUCCCUUGAUUUACAGUAUGUAAAUAUUUAUAUCUAUGCUUUGAAAGCCCUCACCUGCACUUUAACCCAGACCUAACAAUGUUCUGGAUGGUCUGAUUUCUUAAAAAAAAAAAAAAAAAAAAAAGGCAAUUGUAUUACAGUAUGACUAGAACAUCUUUUAAAUGAAUGCUAUUUGGUCACUGGAUUCCUAUAGUGAAAAAAAAUUAAUCCCUUUUAUCACAUCAUAUUAAAAAAUAAGUCCAGAUACACAAUAGAUUAUUAGAAUGUAAAAUUUAUCAGAGGCAAAUUUUAAGUGAACUUCAGUACCAGAAAGAUUUCUUAAUCUAGACUCAGCAGCACUAACUGUAAUGGAAAGGACUGAUUUAUUAGAUGACUUGGCACUAUUAGAACUUCUCUUUUUCAGUAGACUAAAAAGGCCAUUCCAUGAGUGGAAGGAAAAUAUUUGCUAUCUAAUAUCCAGACCCUGGAAGAGGCAGAGGUUUCUUAAAUAAGAUGCAAAGAUCAUUAAUAAAAAAUUUGUAAAACAGAAAAUUAGACACAAUCGAAAUUAAGAACUUAAGUUCAUAAAAAUUAUAUCAAUAAGACAAGAAAAUACACUCCUCAGAUACAAAUCAGAGAGCAAAUUUCCAAACAACCCAUAAACACAAGAACUGAUGACCAAUUCAUGACUUAUCAGGACAAUAGAAACCAAGACCACAAGGCAAACUUGUCUACACCUAGCAGAAUAGCUACAAUUUAAAAAGCUAGGAAGUACCAAGUGUUGGUGAGGAUACAGAGAAAUUGGAGCUCUGUUACAGUAAUGGUGAGAAUUUAGUGAUUACACUCAUAGGUAUAUGACCCCAAAGAAACGCGUACUCAUAUAAUCACAAAAAGCAUGCCUAAUAGAUUCAUAACAGCAUUAUUUUUGCGAGUCAACAACUGGAAAUGUCCCAAGUGCCAAUCAGCAGUAAAAUGGAUUAGUGCAUUAUGGGAAACUUAUACAAUGGUACAUUAGAGCAAUAUAUAAUAAUAAUCUGCAGUUACAUGGAAUAAUAUGACUUGCUUUCACGCACAUUAUUUUGAGCGUGUGUGUUUUAUAAACAGGCAAAAGCAAUUUAUUGUGUUAGAAGUCAAGAUAUUGAUUAGGUUAGGUGAGGAAGGGUAUUCAUGGGCUGAGAGAAUGAGAGAUUUUUUUGAACACUGGGAAUGCUCUGUUUCUUGGCUUGGGGUGUGGCUGGUCAUACCACAUGGAUAUAGGGAUGUUUACUUUGUGAUAAUUUAUCAAGUGGUCACCUUCUGAGCCAUAUAUAUACUCAUACACAUAAUUCCAUAGCCAGAGCCUUACAUAACGGAAGUGGAUGGAGGUGGUGGUGGAGUGGGGGGCAGGUACCAGAGCUGGUGGUGAACUUGGCACACAUUAUUUUAGGCAUGAAGCAUGAAAUAGUUAUUAACUUCAGAAAACGUUUUUAUAAAUAUUAUAACACAGUAAAUGACUUUUUGUGCAUGGCUCAUAUAUGUUUACAUCAUGAAAAUUAUAUGAAUGUUAUGUCAAUAUCGACUCUAAACCAAUCCUGGGAUUAUUCUAUGCAUGCAGUAAAGAGUUUGGUUGGAGGGAAAGUGUGCAUGUCGGUUUUAGAAUGAUUGUAAGAAAAUCAAAUCCCCAACUUCUCUGGUAGGAUGGCUAUUAAUAUCUAAUGGUGACAAAUUAAAAAUUGCAGUAAAAGAGCCUUUCUUAGAUAUAUGACAUCUCAAAAGAAAUUGCUAAAAUAGAUUAAGUUAUUGUUUCUAGGAAGCAAAUGAAGAAAAUAUUGAUGCAAAGGGAUUCUUAAAAAAAAAAAAAAACACCUUGUAGAACUUGUAGUUUUUAAAACUACUUAUUAUGUAAUCCCAGCACUUAGGGAGGCCAAAGUGGGUGGAUCAUUUGAGGUCAGGAGUUUGAGACCAGCCUAGCCAACAUGAUGAAAUCCCGCCUCUACUAAAAAUACAAAAAUCAGCUGGGGAUGAUGGUGCAUGCCUGUAGUCCCAGCUACUUGGGAGGCUGAGGCAGGAAAACCACUUGAACCCAGGAGGUGGAGGUUGCAGUGAGCCAAGAUUGCACCACUGCACUCUAGCCUGGGCGACAGAGCAAGACUCUGUCUCAAUAAAUAAAUAAGUAAAUAUUUAAUAAAUGAAAUCUAUAACUUUAUACAUUUUUCUAUAAUAUAAAUAAAAUCUGUAACAGUAAUAGCUAAAGGUGCCAUUUAUAUCAGUAAAUGUCCACAUAAAUUUAAUAACUCAUACGUUCCAUAAACUCUCAGAGAACGGGAAAGAGAGAUACCCAUCUCAUUUCAAUAAUUGAUACAAUUAUGACGUCACAGCUGAACAAGCAAGCACAGAAAAAAAUGUAUAUUCAAAUCUACUUUAAACAGAUAAACAAAUCCUAAAUAACAUUUAAUAUUAAGAUCAACAAGAUCUUAAAAGAAUAAGACAUCACCACCAUACAGGGUUAAUCAGAGGAAUGUGAGAAUGAUUCAGGAAACCUAUCAAUGGGGCAUUACACUAGGAGAAUAAAGGAAAAACUUUAAUUAUCUCACUAGCUGCUGAAGAAGCAUUUGAUAAAAGUCAAUGCUCAUUCCUGAUAAAAAACCACUUAGAAAACGAAGACAGUAAUCAAACGCUCUUAUCUCAAUAAAAAGUAUUUACCAGAAAAUGGAAGCAAGCAUCAUACUUAAUGGUGAAACAUUAGUGAUGUUUUCUCAUAUUAGCUCCGCCAGGAUGUCCACCAUAUAUCACCGUUUAACAUUGCGCAGAAGGUUCUACCAAUGUAAAAAUGAAAAAAGUAACUGUAGCGAUAUGACAGUACAUAUAUGAGAAUAUUCUUUCCCAUAAAAAUGCAAAAGCACAAACUGAUAAAUUGCUGGAACCGGCCGUGAGAGUUCACCAACCUGGAGCUGAAUAUAUCAACCUAUGAAAAUCAAUAGCUUUUCUAUAACCAGCAACAAUCAAAUAGAACAGGUAAUAGAAAAAAAAGCAUUCUAUUCCGGGCCAAAAUAAUAAUACAAAAGAACUCCGGACAAUUCUUACCUACUGGAAGAGUAAAAGUUGGCCUGAGUAGCUGAAGAGACAUUCAUUGUUGAUCAGAGUAGAUCAACACUCUAGCCAACACUCAAAAACUCUCAGUGGCUUAGCAAAAUGGACAUCCAUUUCAGCUCACACGAAUGAGCUGAUGUUCAGCAUGGACUUCUGGGAUGUGACCUUCCAUGUGGCUAUUCAGGGACCCGGACUCCUUCCAGCUUGUGUUUCCUGAACCCUCGGUGGCCUCAGGUUUCCCUGCGAGGUCUCUGCUUGCAUGUGGAAGGCAACCAAAGGAGAUUGAGAGACAGUGCAGACGAUUCCUAUGGGCCAGACCUGGAGGCCAGGAGCAUCAUUUCUGCCCACGUUUCAUCAUCUGGAACUUAGUCACGUCGUCACACCCAGAGUGAAGGAAGAUGAAAAAUAUCACUCCCUCUGUGUCCUGGAAGAAAAGGAAAGUGGUUUGGGAGAGGCUUCCGAAUGUUUGGCAACCCGGGAAAGACUUAAUGCUGAAAGGGUGUCAUUUCUCUCCAACAACUCAUGCAUCCCGUCGGUAUCUCCAACAAAUUCCAAUUGGUUUUAAUAGGGAAACUGAUGAUCUGAUUCUCAAGUUUGUAUGGCCAAUAAAUGUAUGGAAAUAGCCAGUACAAUUUUGAAAAAAUGCACCAUGGGCAUGACUGUGGAUGUGGGUUUGCCUUAUUUGAUGUGCCGUAGGUGGAACAAUAAACACAAUGUGACAUUAGUGCAAUAUCAAUACAUAACGGAAGAGAAAAGGCGAUCUGGAAACAAAUGGACACAUCAGGGGAUUUGCACAUAAUCAGAUUAAAUUCAUAGACAGUAAAAGUGACUUUUCAAGUUAAUGAGGACUAAAGAUCUAUCUAAUAAGUGAUUUUGGAAUAUUUGACUACCCAUUUGCUAAAAGAAAUGUCAAUGGAUCAUAACUUAUAUGUUAAUAAAUUUCAGUUUUAUUAAAGAUUUAAACCUAACAAAUAUCAAUAUAAUCUGAGGCAGGAGAAAGCAUAGUGAUAUGAAUGAAUUAGAAACCAUAUGGAGAAAGACUGACAAAUUCCCCAUGAUAAGUAACACAGUACACAAAGUUAAUUGAUAUCUGGCAGAAUGACAAAAAUAUUUCAACAGAAACAGGCAGGAUUUUAAUAUUCAGAAUUUAGAAAGCAUUCACACACAUCAACAACAAAAAGACAACGCAGUAGAAUGUAGUCAAAGAAUAUGGAUGGCUGAUUGACUGAACAUUAUUAAAAUGGCCACUAAACACAUUAAAAGAAUAUCAAAUAUAAACUAAAACAAGAUUUUUUGCCUCUCGUAUUAGGGAAAAAGCAUAAAAAACCAUCAUGUGAAAUGCUGGGGAGGAGGUACUGUCUGCAUUUUGGUGGGAGCAUGCAUUGGAAAGGCCUUUAAAAGGGUAGCUUGUUAAUCAACUGAUUACAAAAUCCAUAGACUCUGAUCCAGUACUUGUAUUUUAGGAAUCUGGAUCAAAGAAGAGCCAACCCAUGUUCAUGAGACAUGUAUGCAUGCAUGUACAAUUUGUUUUCUUCACAGCAUUAUUUGUAAUUGCAAAAACAUGAAAACAAAUCGUCAUUAAGACAGAAUGGUUACAUUAAUAAUCACAAAUCCAAUCAAUGAAAUGCUACAAAAGAGUUAGAAAUGGAGAAAGAUCUAAAGGCUGAUUUGUAAAAUUAAUAAGAUGUAUAGCUAAGUGAAAGAAGCAAGUUGUUGACAGGGUAUGAUAUAAUUCCACUCAUGUUGGCACACACAUAGAUACAUAUGAAAGAGAGAGAGAGACAGACAGAGUCGAAGAGAAUGGUAGAGAGAGAGAAAGGGAGAGCACGUCAGGUUGCCUACUCAAUGCAUUGCUUUGAAGGCAUUUGGUCAAUGAGUACCAAUAAGAAUGUGAUGAUCUGAAGAGCACGUCCUAAUUUGGCAGGGUAUGCUUCCAGAAUCCUUUUAAAGGAAAAUGUAUCAGCAAGUUACAUACAUAGUAAGUAACAAAAGACAAAGAAAUUAAGCAUGUAACUACCUCCCUUACUUCUUCCUUUCUCCUUUCUCUCUCCUAAGAACAAUUCCUUGCCUGUAUUAGCAUCUCCGAUGACAAACCUCCCCCGCUGCCUCCAUGCCCCUUCCCCAACUCUAAGGUUCUUGGCAGUGUGCUGAGGACUGCAGCCCCCAUCCCUAUCACUUCCUAUCAGUUGCUGCUGGAGCCAUUGAAGGACCCACCCUCAGCUCUGGUUCUGUCCAUGCAUCCCCUCCAGAGGCCGCCGGAGAACUCAGGGAAGGUGGAGUAAGGAGGCUGCCCAGAGAGCAAAGCAGGCGUCUGCUCUGGCAAGACCAACCCUAUGUGUCAGCAACACUGAAGCUUUCCCUUGGUGUCUCUCUAGGAGAUUUUGGGAGACUUUGGAAGAUCUCCCCUUGCCCUGCUGGUGCCACCCCGGUGACUCUUGCUUCCGAACUGCUCCUUGUUGUUGCCUGUGGAAUUGCACUAGUGUGGUUGGUCUCCAUUCUCUCUGAUCAGUUGUUUUUUCUCCUUCUUUGAUUUCUCUUUCCAAAUGUUAAUAUUUCACAUGCUUCGACGCUGCUGGCCCUUACUUCUUUUUUUUUUUUUUUUUUUUUUUUUUUUUGGAGAUAGAGUCUCGCUCUGUCCCCCAGGCUGUAGUGCAGCGGCACUAUCUGAGCUCACUGCAAGCUCUGCCUCCCGGGUUCACGCCAUUCUUCUGCCUCAGCCUCCUGAGUAGCUGGGAUUACAGGCGCCUGCCACCGGGCCCGGCUAAUUUUUUGUGUUUUUAGUAGAGACAGGGUUUCACCGUGUUAGCUAGGAUGGUCUCGAUCUCCUGACCUUGUGAUCCACCCACCUCAGCCUCCUAAAGUGCUGGGAUUGCAGACGUGAGCCACUGCGCCCGGCCUGGUCCUUACUUCUUACUCAUUGUCAUCAAUUGUCCAGAGCUUCCUCUGUGACACCCAGAAUGUAAUUUCCAACUCUGUCUCCAGUCCUGACCUCACUCUAAGUGCACAGGCGCUGUGGGGAGUCUCCACCAGUGGACCUCAGAGCACUGCUGUUGGGCAUGCUGGCCAGAGCCCUGCAGCCUGCUUCCCUGGGUACCCCGCACACCCCUGUGGGGCUGAGGGCAACCCCGGAGAGAUUAGGCACCAGUCAGCUCAAGGUCUAGAGUGGCAGCUGCCCUGGGGGUCUAGGGAUCCCCACACUGCUGCUCCCACAAGACCCUCUCCCACUGUGGUCUCCACUUCCAGCGUUCUGGGAAAUUCAGCCACAGGAGGCUUAUGUACUGACAUUUCCACUGUAGCAAGCUCCCUUGGGUUUCCUGUGCCUCACAACUUCUGCCCAUAGGUAUAUCCUCCACAUGUAUUAUACACACAUCAAUAUGACAUAGCCGUAUCCUCCACAUGUAUCACACACACACCAAUAUGACAAGGUGAAAUGGAGACCAUACGUGUGAAUGGAAUGGAAACCAGCAUUUCUGGAGCAUCCACUGUGUGUCCUCUGCUAUACGGGCUGCAUCCCAUGUAGAAUCUGUAAUUCUCACAAUAACCUUGGGUAGGUGGAUAUUACACUGACUUUAGAUAUGAGAAAAAUAUGACCAAAUCCUAUUCUCAAUUUUCACUAAAAGUAUGGCCUCGGGAAAAUUGCUUAAAAUCAUUUAGAUUCAGUUUAGAGUUGAGGCAAAAGGUUGUCAACCAAAAUAACAGAGAGGCCCUCUAAAAGAAAAGAUGUUUUUUUGAGAACGGAGCAUUGCAAUGGAAAAGUGCCGCAGUAAACACGGUGCAUAUUCAGGGAGGUAAAAGAGAACAAAGGAUUUUUACAGGUAAACAAUGAGGAGGAUUACAUAAUUGUUUUGAGAUCAUUGUCCUUGAUUAUAAGGAUCAAUAGCAAGGGUGACAGCAGUCCAAGGUUGGACAGGCAGUUGCUGGGCAGAUGUCUUUGUGAAAGUAAAUUUUGUUGGCUCACGCCUGUAACCCCAGCACUUUGGGAGGCCAAGGUGGGCAGAACACCUGAGGUUGGGAGUUCAAGACCAGCCUGACCAACAUGGAGAAAACCUGUCUCUACUAAAAAUACAAAAUUAGCAGGGGGUGGUGGCACAUGCCUGUAGUUCCAGCUACUCAAAAGGCUGAGGCAGGAGAACUGCUUGAACCUGGGAGAUGGAGGUUGCAGUAAGCCGAGAUCGCACCAUUGUGCUUCAGCCUGGGCAACAAGAGUGAAACUCCAUCUCAAAAAAAAAAAAAAAAAAAAAUAGGAAGUAACUUUUGUGCAAGGUUGUGGGUUUUGUAGAGCAUCUUUCAUUAUUAGGCAUACAAGCAUCCCUGGACUCCUUUGCUCUAUUUUUCGCCGUUUUCAUAGCAUUAGUGACUCCAUUUGAUUCUGAUAACUUUCACGAAGUCUUUGGAAUUUGACCAACUUUUUACUGGCCAAAUAUUAUGUGCCUUGGACUGUGCUAGGCAACGUGGAUCAGACAGAGGUGGCCCAGACAUAGCCCUAUGUCGCCAAUUAUCCAUAGCCUAUCAGCAAGCAAAUUAAAUAUACAUACAUUAAAUGAAUACAAUCCUGUGAACAGGUAUCAAGUACCACUGCCACAAUGGACAUGGUGGUAAGUAGCAAGGACACUGAGGUUUGUAUUAAAAGUCACAGCACUAUCCUGAAAACAGCAAUUGACUUGCCAUCAGGAGAUGGCAUCAGGGUCAUUGAAAUCCUGACGGUGAAAAUAAGCACAAGUAUUUUAACCAUAUCAGCUUUGUCAGAAAAGGGAUACAUUACUUCAUCCACUUAGUCAUUUCAGUGAUUCUCAAAUGCAUAAACUAGAUGAUUUGAAAAUAUAUGUUCUGAGCAGACACCAUGGCUCAUGCUUGUAAUCCUAGAACUUUGGGAGGUCGAGGUGGGUGGACUGCUUGAGCCCAAGAGUUUGAGACCAGCCUUCGCAACAUGCUGAAACCCUGUCCCUACAAAAAAUACAUAAAGUAGUCGGGCUUGGUGGCGUGCACCUGUAGUCCAGCUACUCGGGGGGCAGAAGUGGAAUGAUCACUCAAGCCUGUGAUCCUGCCACUGCCCUCCAUCCUGCACAACAGAGUGAGACUCUAUCUCAAAAAGAAAAAGAAAAGAAAAUAUAUCUUCUUAAAUAACAAUCACAGAUAUAGAGGAUAAAAUAUAACAGAAAUUCUUCAUAUGCACAGCUGAGUUUUUGUGAAAUAAAGGCAACAAAUUUAAAGAAAACCCAAAACAAGCAUAGUUUUAUAACACUGAAGCCAAUGUUUCCUUAGGGGGCAUUUUUACCCACCUUAUAAACGUGACUUUUUUUUUUUCAGACAGAGUCUCGCUCUGUCACCCAGGCUGAAGUGCCUGGUGCAAUCUCGGCUCACUGCAAACUCUGCCUUCUGGGUUAAAGCCAUCCUUCUGCCUCAAGCCUCCUGAGUAGUUGGGAUUACAGGUGUCCACCACCAUGUCCUGCUAAUUUUUAUAUUUUUAGUAGAAGCGGAGUUUCACCAUCUUGGUCAGGCUGGUCUCAAACUCCCGACCUCAAGAGAUCCACCUGCCUUGGCCUCCCAAAGUGCUGGGAUUACAGGCGUGAGCCACCACACCUAGCCUAAAAUACUUUUUAAAAAAACGAAAAGAUAAAUCUUUGAGUCCAUGCAAGGAUGGGAGAUGUAAAAGUGGCUCACAUAAAAUUACUGGGAACUUGAGAAAAUGCACAUUCAGUAAAGUGCUACCAGAAAAAAAAAAUCCAUCUUCCAACAUAGUGGAACACAGGACAGUCUCAAGUAAGACCCCAGGAAAAUGCAGAAAACAUGAGUCUUGUGAUCAUUGAUGGUAUGAAUCAUUAAAUCGCCUAGACUGGGGCUUGACAUUACAUUUAUUAUCUGGUUUAAGAAACUCCAAGUGAAGCAAUUAACAUGAGGUAAGCCUUGACUGUUAGAACCUGAGGAAGCUUGUUAGACACAGACUAAAUCGUUGCUCCCCAGUCUUUCUGGCACGGGGGUAUGGAGCUGGGGGAUGGUUUUGGGAUGGAACUGUUCCACCUCAGAUCAUCGGGCAUUAGAUUCUCAUAAGGGGCCCACAACCCAGAUCCCUCACAUGUGCAGUUCACAGAGGGUUUGCCCUCUCAUGAGACUCUAAGGCCACCUUUGAUCUGACAGGAGGGAGAGCUCAGGUGGUGAUGUGAGCUCAUGGGCUGCUCAACGCCUGCUGUGCCAUCCAGUAACUAACAUGGCGUGGAUGGGUACUGGUCUUCCGCCUGGAGACUGGGGACCACUGGUCUAAAUAAGCGCUGUAGAAUCACCCUUUCCCUCAUGGAUGCUGCAUGGUUUCUACCAGGUAAGUGUCCACAAACAUAAGGCCACUCUCUAAAACCACAACACACUUCAGCAAGCAACUCACAACAGGAACAGGAGUCAUCCCAAACAACAAAAGGCAGAUCUGACCACUGAGAAGUUAAAAUAACAGAAUUUUUGGAAACAAAGUGUAAAACGUGUACACUUAAGAUACAUAAAAGGAAAGCACUAAAAACACACACACAAAAACACCCCAAGAUAUGAUUUAAAAAACACCAGAGAGAUUUAGAGAAACAGAAACAAAACAAGGAAGCAUUUUAUGAAUAAUACGUAUAGUUAAUAAAAUUAAAACUUGAAGGAUGAUGUACUAAGUAUUGGGUUUGGUGAGCCGGGCACGGUGGCUCAUGCCUGUAAUCCCAGCACUUUAGGAGGCUGAGGUGGGUGGAUCACAAGGUCAGGAGUUUGAGACCAGCCUGUCCAAUAUGGUGAAACCCCAUCUCUACUAAAAAUGCAAAAAUUAGCUGGGCAUGGUGGUGCGUGCCUGUAAUCCCAGCUACUUGGGAGGCUGAGGCAGGGGAAUCGCUUGAAUCCAGGAAGCGGAGGUUGCAGUGAGCCAAGUUCACAGAGCGAGACUCCGUGUCAAAAAGAAAAAAGAAAUGGGUUUGGUGUAGGUAAAGAAAGAAUUAUGGAAAUGGAGUCUAAACCUGAGGAAAUUUUAUAUGGAGCACCUAAAGAGAAAGUUGAGGAAUAUACAUAAGUGAAGUUGAAAUGAUAGCGUUUGAAAUGUAUAGCAUACUAUAUCCAAAAAUAGAAAAUAGAAGAAUGGGGGAUAAUUUUUAACCUUGGAGUAAUAACCUUUAAGAAAUUGGUGCAAAGAUAAUUAAUGACAUAAAUUAAUGUUAGUGUGAAUAACUCUAAACAAUUAUUGGCUGUGUCAAAUAUUUUUAAUAACUAAUUUCUGAGAUAAAAAAAUAUGAGGGACUGAAACACAGGGAAAUUAACAAAAUAUUUGUAAGGGGAAAUAGGAUUAAGCCAUUAUAAAGUCUUUGUACUGUUAAGCAUGAGGAUAAAAAUACUGAAAAAUUUUAAACUUGGUAACGUGUAGGUUAAGUAAAGCCUCUAAUUUCAAAAACAGUAGGAGUGUAGUAGAUUUCAAAAACUUGUAUUAAACAGAAAUAUUGAAGUAGCAGAGGCAAGACAAAAAGAAAGUCCAAAAUAUAGAAAAAAUAAACCCAACUGUAUGAAUAAUCAGAAUAAAUGCAAAUAGAUGAAACUCACAAGUUCAAGAUAGAGAAGCUGAAAUUCUAGAAGAAAUGUCUAGUGGAAUAUUUGUCAGAGACACAUUUAAACACACAUAAAUACUGAAAACUCAAAAAGUAAAAAUAAAAUAAAAUAAAAUAAGGUAUAUCAGACCAAAAUGGAAAGCAAGUAUAAUACUGCAUUCAUCAACAAUAUGGUCCACAUUUUUUCCUAAAGCUGGGCCAUGGCAAACCCUCCCAACACCCUAAUUUCCAAAGACUGAAAUAAGUGUAACUUAUCUGAAUGCAAUGUAAUUCAUCUAGGAAUCAAUUAAAAGAGAACUAGAAAACCCCAACUCCUUAGAACUUGAACCAUACAUUUCCAAAUAAUCUUUGAGUGAAAAAUACCAAAAAGAAAUUAAACCAAUACUUUGGUUAUUAGGAUAUAGCACAUCAAACUUGGUGGAAUGGAGCUAAAGUAGUGCUUGGAGGGAAAUUUAAGACUUGAGUACAUAUUUUAGAAAAGAAGAAAAGAAAAAUUU
This 46720-nucleotide long non-coding RNA is filed under the name Homo sapiens (human). RNAcentral's name for it is "non-protein coding lnc-TBC1D22A-4:13". The record is from RNAcentral. Lineage: Eukaryota; Metazoa; Chordata; Mammalia; Primates; Hominidae.